Molecule: long non-coding RNA, 65032 nt
Filed under: Sorghum bicolor (sorghum)
Lineage: Eukaryota; Viridiplantae; Streptophyta; Magnoliopsida; Poales; Poaceae
Description: long non-coding RNA (SBIC_LNC003607)
Source: RNAcentral
CUCCAUCACCACCACUGGUCUUCAUUCAGCCUAUUAACUUAUAUCUAUCUACUCCAGAGCAGACAAGAACUCGACACCAUGAAGGUGUUGCUCGUUGCCCUCGCUCUCCUGGCUCUCGCGGCGAGCGCCGCCUCCACGCUUACAACCGGCGGCUGCGGCUGCCAGACACCUCAUCUACCACCACCGCCGGUUCAUCUGCCGCCGCCGGUGCAUCUGCCACCGCCGGUGCACCUGCCGCCGCCGGUUCACGUGCCACCGCCGCCACCACAAUGCCACCCACACCCUACUCUACCGCCCCACCCACAUCCAUGCGCUACAUACCCACCGCAUCCAAGCCCGUGCCACCCAGGGCAUCCCGGAUCCUGCGGUGUUGGCGGCGGCCCCGUCACCCCGCCGAUCCUGGGCCAGUGCAUCGAGUUCCUGAGGCAUCAGUGCAGCCCGGCGGCGACGCCCUACUGCUCGCCACAGUGCCAGGCGUUGCGGCAGCAGUGCUGUCAGCAGCUCAGGCAGGUGGAGCCGCUGCACCGGUACCAGGCGAUCUUCGGCGUGGUCCUGCAGUCCAUCCAGCAGCAGCAGCCGCAAGGCCAGUCGUCACCGCUCCCGGCGCUGAUGGCGGCGCAAAUAGCACAGCAACUGACGGCGAUGUGCGGUCUAGGAGUGGGGCAGCCAAGUCCCUGCGCUUCUUGCAGCCCUUUUGCCGGUGGUGUCCACUAUUAAAGAAACUAUCUAUACUGUAAUAAUGUUGUAUAGCCGCCGGAUAGCUAGCUAGUUUAGUCAUUCAGCGGCGAUGGGUAAUAAUAAAGUGUCAUCCAUCCAUCACCAUGGGUGGCAACGUGAGCAAUGACCUGAUUGAACAAAUUGAAAUGAAAAGAAGAAAUAUGUUAUAUGUCAACGAGAUUUCCUCAUAAUGCCACUGACAACGUGUGUCCAAGAAAUGUAUCAGUGAUACGUAUAUUCACAAUUUUUUUAUGACUUAUACUCACAAUUUGUUUUUUUACUACUUAUACUCACAAUUUGUUGUGGGUACCAUAACAAUUUCGAUCGAAUAUAUAUCAGAAAGUUGACGAAAGUAAGCUCACUCAAAAAGUUAAAUGGGCUGCGGAAGCUGCGUCAGGCCCAAGUUUUGGCUAUUCUAUCCGGUAUCCACGAUUUUGAUGGCUGAGGGACAUAUGUUCGCUUAAGCUUAGCUGUCACUCACACAACAAAUCAGCCAACGGUACUUUCUGCCAAGACUUAUCAGCCAAACGAACAAAACAGUCUGCUGAUGCUCUCAAAAAAAACAUACUUGCUGGCGAAAGGGUCCCACUAGAUUCAAUAAGGACCUAAAUAGGAUUUCUAUCAUGUCUUCGGAGACAUCUGGUAAAUAGAAUCUCUACCGUCUCUUCGACACCCAAUAAGUAACCAUCUCUUUGAAGACAUCUAACUACUAUUUGUGGCUAGAUAAAAAUAGAACUCUAAUAACUCGAGUCUCUAUUUUAUGGAGGCUCUUAAUUAAGUUUAUUGUCUCGCGCUGCCACCCCGGUUCCUCCCAACAUGUAUUCAAAAGACUUUGGGAUGAUAUUGUGAAGCACUUGUGGGUGUUUUCAUGGCAUUAGUUAGUAUGAUUUAUUGUGGUUUUAUUGUAAUUUGUUGUCAUUUCGUGUGAUAAUAAUUUUUGUAUGCCUCCGAAGACAUAUUUGAACAUAUUUGAAUUUAAAUUUAAAUUCUCUUAUUUGAAAUCAUGAACUUGAAUAUAAUUUUAUUUGUACGGGUUUUUGAGGCAUACUAGUGUGCUACAAAGAUAUACAUGAAGAUUAUAUAUUAAAAAAUAUAAGACAAAUGAAAUAGACGAUUAGAUGUAAUGUAAGGACUCUUAAUUUUGGAUGAAAAGACCCUUAUUGAAGUUGGGUGCAAAUAAAUAGAGUUCUAAAAAAAGGAGCCCCUACUCUAAAAAGGUGCUCUACUUUAUAGGUCACAGUUAGAUACGCUACUCACGUUAUUAGGCCUUGUUUAAUUCACCCAGAAAAAUCUUGGUGCACAUGCAUAGAGUAUUAAAUAUAAUCAAAAACAAAACUAACUACAAAGCUUACCUGUAAAUUACGAGAUAAAUUUUUUAAACCUAUCAUAAUUAAAUAAUAAUUACUAAAUAAAAACAAAAUGCUACAUUAAGCAAAACCCAAAAAAAUAGAAACUAAACAAGGCCUUAUCCAAUGUUCGGAUGGGUCCAUUCAAAUUUAGUCCGAUUUUAAGGUCCAUGAGUUCAAUUUAUUCAAUGUUCCGAUGGCUCCAUUCCAAUUUGGUCCAGUUUUAAGGUCCAUGACUCAUACUAGGAAGACAGAACCAUCAGUGCGCCAGACCCAACACCUGUUGCGAGUGUUUCAGGUAACCAGAGAAGGGAAACUAAAAACACAGCAGAGAUUAAUAUAAACAUGACGCAUACACCCCGCAUCUAACCAACUACUGUAGGAACUUGUCUCUGUUAUCAGUUGUUACAUGCUAUAUAACCUCAUAACCACUAAAUUAACGAGAUGAUACAUUCGAACACUACAUACCCUGAAGGCCUUGCCCAUCUUUCCAUCAGCCUAUUCUCUACUCUAAUGACUCUUCCUCCCACAAACAUGGGACCAAAGGAAAAGAAAAAAAACAAGAAAAUUAAACAUUUCGUGGUACAGAUGCUGUAUUAGAAAAACCGUUAGCUGCUUUUGGUGGUGGUGGCUUCUUCUUGUAGUUUGCUAAGCUACAAUGGGGGCAGAUGUAUUCCAAACCAUCUGUCUUAGCGUAAUCCUGUAAGUAAAGCACCUCAUGAGAUCAAGCCAUUGAUUUCAGGCAAGGGUGAGAUCAACAAACCAUCAUAUUAUUGUUUACCUUGAAAGUGCCUAGUCCUUGUCGUCUGUCGCAACCAAAGUGAGCCCAUUCACCACAUAAACCACAGUUCACCCAAUCUCCAGGUGCGCUACUGGAAUUACAUGAAAGGUACUGUUAGAUUUUAACAUGAUAUUAAUAUUGAAGCAGAAAGAUUUGAAGGAAGAUGCCCUCAGAGACCUGUGACAAAGUAAGCAGCAUUCACCAUCCACAUCAUCAUGCGCUAACUCAUAUUCCAACAAGUAUGUUUCGUAGUGCCUUUUCAACGUGUUCCCUACACCCUAAAUAUAUACAGAGAAGUGCAUAGAAUUAAAACAUAGCAUUUCAUUAGGCAUUCCUGUUCUUCAGCACAAAGCUAAAAGGCAGGAUCAGAAAUCAAGUAUCAGAGAACUGAACAAUAAAUACAUACAGUCAUUCUGUUUGUUGCAGUAUGGUUACGCAUCUUUGAGAAGACUUGACCCUUCCAGUUUAUGCCAUUACCCACAUAAAAUCCACCUCUAGACACCACCUAAAAAAUAAAGAACAUAUUUAUCAGGGAACAGGCUGAUAAUACAUGUCAUUGGACCUCCAGUUCACAUAUGUAAACUAGUGCAAAGAAUUACCUCCUUGUACAAGUUAUAAAGAUCAAGGCGCUUGGCGUUAAGGAUUGCAUCAGGAAAUUCAGCUAGUCCUCCAUGAGGUACAAGUCGAUUGUGGCCCCUCUGGAUUAAAAACUGCAUGACAUCCUUCAAGAAGUCCUCCUACAAAAAAAAAUAUAAGGAACAGAUCACUUUCUACACUGAUUAUUAUGUAUGGAAAACAGAACGAUAUCAUCAUCAUGACUCAUGAAGGUUAAAAGACUUGUACCUCAGAGCAUACUUGGAUAGGCAACCUAUCACAUCCAUGUUUCUUCAUUGGCAGAGGAUUCAAUUGAAUGACUGAAGGAGUAUGUGAUGGCCCUGAUGUUGAUUUUCUGUGCGUGGUUGGGGCAGAAGAAACUGAAUUGUGCUUAACAGUUGGCGCAACUGGCAAGCUUGGCUUCACAAUACUAGUUUCAUGAAGGGAAGUUUCAGGUAAACCCAUAAAAGGAUGCAUUUGUUGUUUUCGAGAGUGGGGAAUGGGCCUCAUAGUUGCAGGCUUUAAUUUAGCCUUGACGGCUGACAAUGAGGAAGGACCUUCCAUCAUAUGCUUCUUGUCUUCCAAAACUCCAUUUGCACCCAACAGACUUUGUUUUGAUUCUGAACCCACCUUUGUUCUGUCCUUGGUAAGGGAGGCUGACCAUCUUGGCAGAUGAAAAUAUGGACCAUUUUCAUUAGCCAAAUCUUUGCACUGACUUGUGCAAAAGAAAAGAAGACGGUCUGCAUCUCGCCUCUCAAAGGAAGCAACAGGAGUACCAUUUAUACAACCAAUACCAAGUGCAACCAAGCUCCUGUAUUGUAUAUCUGGCGCUAGAUGCUUUAGGACCUAUAUAAAUGAACAAUACUGGUUCAAUAUGUAAGGCUAGAAUUGCAUAAGUGAAAAAAAAAACAUACAAGAUCGUAUCAAAACAGCAUAAAAUUCCAGUAGGUGCAUAUUAUAAGCAAACAAUGUCGAAAACAAACCUGUGCUGCCCACUUAGGAAGUGACAUCCAAACUUCAAAGGUAGAAGCCCCACAAGCCGUGGACAUGGAAGUUAGAGGCUCGCUUGAUGGUAACUUGUCCUCACUAUUUGAGAGAGCACGGACUAACUGGCUCUUCUCAAUAAUUUCAUUCUUGAUGUGGCUCUCUAGAAGCUGCACAGACAAGUGAGCACCAUGUGACUUUGCACGGCAGGACAAAAAAAAAACCUAUCCAAGGUCAAAGGAAUAUAUACCUGGUCAUCAAAACAAGUUUGUGCGCUACCAGAAACAAGGAGUGACACAUGGGAAAUACUGCAUGUAGUGAUAUCACAGCGCAUAGUAACCAUCCCACGUGGUAGAGAUGCAGCUUCGAGAGGUGGUGGAGAAGCACUGUCAGACAGGAGGAACAACAAAUCAGUUUUCUGCUUACAAAGACAAUAAUAAUCUAUGGCAAAGCCACAUUGGCAGUAAACAACAAUCUCUGUACAUAUGAAGGCUCCCUUAAUAAAUAAAUGAAGGCUCACUUGUUCAUUUUCUUUCCCUAAAUUAUCUCUUACAAACAUCGAUAACAUUUUGUUUUCAUGAAUUGAGAAGAAUGACACACUACAGAACUAAGCAUGGUCAACCAACAUAAUCAUGCAUGACAGCAUAUCAAAAGAAUUUGUUGUUAAUUCAUGGACUCAUCACAUGGUAUAAAAGGUAAAAUCAUACAAGGAUGUACAACUAAAGAAAUUAGAAAGCAAUCCAAUAUACCUGAUUCGAUUCUGCAGUUUGCUCCCACGGAUCUGUCAAAAAAAAACAUGAGCUCUUUUAUACAGGAAAAUCGUAAGUCACAAGUUUUGUAAUAACUUAAAUAAUCAAGCACUAAAUAUUUGCACCGUUGCUUUAUGUGUCAGAAUCCUUUAAACAAUACAAAGUGAUAGCCAGCUCACAGGUUUAAUCACACCCCAUGGUAGAGAGCAGUGUUUGAGUGUACAUGGGGUGGGGGGGCUGGACCAUUCAUUUCUGUCAGUUCGAUCAACCUAAGACUGAGACUAGCGGGAACUAAAGUUCCAGUUGUUCGGUACACAACUUCCUACCCAAUAUCAAUACUUUUUUGUGAUGCAGAUAAAGUACUACUAGUGUCUACACUAUAGCAGCAUGAUUUUUCACUUUCAUGUACCAUACGAGCAUGAAGACUUCAAUUAAAACAAAUCAUAACGAGUGCAGGCAACGGCCUGGAUGUCGAGGGCAACAGCCCCCGUGGGCGCCAUAAAAUCAUCGCCCCAUGAUAAUAAGGUAUCUAGAAAAGUGAUCUGAUUAAUAGAAAUAGACCAAGUAAUGAAACAAUGGAUACUGCAAAUGAUGUCCUAUAAUUUUAAUUAAGGAUAUCUCCAUCGCUGCUUACCUAUAUGUAAGUGUGCCUUGGUGUUGCGCAUCUAAUUCUAGUUUGUUUCUAUGAUCCUUACAGAAAACAUCCAUGAAUUAAGAGCAUAAAUGUAACAUUGCCAUGUCUGAAUUACUAUUACAUACACUAGGAAACAAAAUGUUUUUUUAUCAUUUCUAGUGAGACAAUAACUUUCAAAACCAUGAGUUUAUUAUAUAAUAAGUAGUUCACACAAAAAUGUAUUGCAUAGCUAGAAUCUUUCGUUCAUACUUCAAUAUUCAGAAGUGCAUUCAGACCGUCUUCUAAAGAGCCCAAUAAACAAGGAUCCUGUGGGAGUACAUAAGGGAAGCAUUAGUUUGCAUCGGAAUAAUAUAACUACUAAUCUUUAGACAUAAAUAUUAAAGCUUUUAUUUACCAAGUUGCAUGGCACUCCACAUAGAAGUAGUUUCAUGUUGAUUACUUCAUCGUAUAUUUUUAUAGCCGGGGUCACUUCAGAAGAACCUUCUUCAUCAACCAUUUCAGUCUCAGGUGGGCUUAUAUUUAUUUUUGGAGCAUCCCCAAGGAGACGAGGGCCAAGCUUAACACUUUGCACAUGAUUGUUUCUUACACAAUAUAGACGGAAGGAUGCAUGAGCAAGCUGAAAAGCAUCCCAAGUAUGGCUCACCGAACUGAAUCCAACCAGAAGCACAUUUAUUAUAAAUAACACUUCCAUUUAGAUUGAACUGAAAGAGGGAGGGUGAAUGAGUACCUUUGAACUACUGACAUCAACGCAUGGCGAAAAUGAGAUGCGGCAUAAGACGAAAAUGAAUUUCUCCAGUAUAUUACAUAUGGGAUCCCCUGAAAUAAAUAAGUAUUAGCAUUACCGAAAUUUCCAAAUCCAGAAUAAUAAAACUGGUUGCCUAACACUUUAAGAAAUAUAAAUUAAGAACAUAUAACAAUUUGUUUUGAUAUAGAGGAAACAAGGUUGAAUACAUUUGUAGAAAUACGAUAACACUUGAGGCCCUGUUUGCAUCUUAUUUUCAUAGUGAUUCUAGAUAGUGAUGUAGAAUCUGGAUUCUAAAUUAAAAAAAAUGAGGGGUGUUUGGAUUCCGGAUUAUUGUUUUUUCAUAGUGAGAAUCUCCAAAUAGCAGGGUUUGGGUAGAUAGAUGGACUCUAGGAAUCUCAUUCUAGAAUCCGAGUGUUUGGAUCUAAUUCUCAAUUUUUUAGGAGAUCCAACAGGGCCUAACAGCAGCAUGACAUUGUUGCCGAACUAAGAAAAGCAGACCAAAAUGAACAAUCCAAAGAAAAUAUGGCUACUUUGCUAUGCAGCCAUCUCCAAGAAAACAUAAUCCAUGAGUAGUGGACAAAUAGUAAUACUCUAGCUGUUGACGGAUAGUAAUACUCAAGUUGUUUGAAGAGAUGCGAUUACUGUACAGGGAAACUAUCUACCUUUGAGUGAACUGCUUGGGCAAGUUUUUCACCAAUAGGAACUUCCAGAUAUACCUGUAUGCAGAGUAUGGUUAUCAGCAACUGUAGAAAUGUUAAAAAGUUGAACUCAUGUGGCAGUACAGCCAAGAUGUUGGAACAUCCAAAAAGUUACACAAAACAAAUGUUAAAUAUGCAUUCCUGUGAAGCAAAUGAAGCAAAACUCUUUUGUAGGAACAUUGCUUUCCAUAUAUAUUUCCAUGAUCUAAAUGAAACAUUUUAUGUAUAGGAUAGGAUACUUGAGCCAGUCAGGUACUUUUUUGUAUUGAACUAUUCAAACUGGCUUCAGCUGUAGUACUUGGCCUAUUCAAAUGUGUGUGGCAUAAGACGAGACAAUCCUUAUUCAAGUAGUAUAGCAAUUGUUGUAUAAUGCAACAACGAAACAAACACUGACACAGUGACUUCAGUUUCAUACAAUAGAAUUUACCAAAACAUCAUAGGUUGUCGUAGAAGCUAUCCCAAUGUUCAUAUCAUGAUGCAGCUAGAAUAGAUGCUGCUAUCACAACAUCCUAGUAUUUGCACACACUAGAGUAGAGCUUACUAUUGUUGGGAAUGGUGGGCUGAUAAGAGUGCUAAACGCCUGCGGAUCAGAGACAUCGGCGUCCCCCCACACAAGUGAGCCAAUCUCCUUCUCAUCCUCGAGCUGUUGACCCUGAAUGUACAAGAAGUUUGGCUGCACCACCCGCUGUGCCUCUAGGAACUGCUCCGGUGUAGGAUUGAACAGGGUGUGGACCUGCAUUCAGAAGCCCCCUCAUUCAGCUGACAAACAAAGGAUGGGAACUGCAAUGAACGCAAUCAAGCGAGGACACCAGCAACUGACCUCCAAUCUCCCAGCCGAGCUGAGCUCCGGGAACGGGUACGACGGCCGCGGCCGUUUCGCCUCCAGCCCAGACCUCGCUGCUGGUGCGCGCUUCUCAGCAUACUUGCCACACAGCACCGCGAGAAGCACACAGUUGUUCCGCGAGAAGCUUUGGAUUUGAUGAGACAUGGCUAGCCGGCCGGAGCCUCCCCGUCGGCGGCCAAGCAGUAGAAAAGCCUCCCCUCCAAAUCAACACCGCUUCCUCAUGGACCCAAACCCUGCGACACGAAAACUGGAUCAGGAAUCCCCCCAAAAUCCGACCAAAAUCCGCAGCGAAACCCCACGAAUCUGAGAGGGCUGCCUUACCAGGACGCGAUUUCGCGGCGGAAUCGGCGGCUGCACGGCCUGAAUCGGCGGCCGGACGCGCGCGGCCGGGGAAGGGGGCGGAUUCGGUGCGGGGAGAAGUGGGGAAACGAAGGGUAAAGUGAGCCCUAGAAGACGAUUCGCGGAAAUAGCUACUACUGCAACAAGGCGAAAGCAAAUCCCAGUGCGGAGGCAAUAAAAAAGAGGAGCCGUGCUUGUGGUGGUGGCGAAUCGGGCCACGCCCCCAUCCCAAUCCAGACAAACACGCACAGCGCAAUCCACGGAGAGGGAGGGAGGGAGAGAGAGAGAGAGAGAGAGAGAGAGCCGAAGAAAAAUCUCCUCUCCAAGAACCAGAACAAACACAAGAACUGAAGCGGGGGAUUAACCGGCGACGACGAGCACGGGGAUCAGGCGAGCGGGGCUCAUUGCCCAGCGGCAACCAACCAACUGACAGCAAUCCCGCAUCACAGAGGCAGAAACUUUGGAACAGUCUCGGCUCGACCAGGGAGGCGUCAAGAUUGGAUUUUUGACGGGCGUGGGGAGGGCAGUCCGGAGAUUCUCGCGGACUUUUCCUCCUCGGAUUUUCGCCCUGCCUGCCCGCCUGCCUGCUCACACGCUCGCAAUCACACGCAUCGCCCAGCUUGAUGAGUGAGUCGUAGUAGUAGUAGAUUAGAUGAGUUGAUGUGUGCCUGCCUGCUGCUCUCUGCUGGUGAUGGUGCGUUGUUUUCCCUGCGCUUUUUCGUUUUCUCCUUUUCCUCCUCCGCUUCAUUACUGCUGCACACAAGCCAGGCCAGGGGGGGCGGCGACGGCCGGAGGAAAAACGCGGAUUAAAAAGAUUAGGAAUUUCGGGAGCAGGAGAUUGGUGAGGAGGAGGGGCGAAAUAAUCUCUUUUUUUUCUGGGAGAAUUGUUUUUUUGCCGGGAUCGGAAUAUCGGAUGCUACUGCUUGCUGCUUUUGAUUUGGUGUGCAUGUAGCAUGUGUGUCUGGUUGGUGCAGAUUGAUUCGGUGUGGCCUGUGGUGUGGCGUCUGGCGUAGGGUUGUGAAUUGUGAUCGAGGGAUCCGCGGCUUGGCGCUCCAGCGGUCGAGGCUGCAGCUCGGAUGCGUACAACGGGUAUUGCUCGUGGUCGCGGCGGCUUCGGCCAAAGCUGGGGCGCGUGUGUUCGUGGGAUCGCCCCCGUUUGAUCCGUUUGGGCGUGUUCCUAAUCGCAGCGGUGGAGGCGACGAGGCGCGGAGCGAGAGCGACCGCCCACGCCCGGUUGAGUCAGCGACGCCGCAGAGCUAACGCGCCGUCAGCGUCACGGGAUGGCCGUUUGUUUCUCUGGCUGGUGGGUCCUGAUUCUAGGGCCUUGUUUAGAUGCGAAAAAAUUUUAGAUUUCGCUACUGUAUCACUUUCGUUUGUUUAUAACAAAUAUUAUCCACUUAUAGAAUAACUAUGAUCAAAAGAUUCAUCUCGCGAUUUACAGGUAAACUAUACAAUUAGUUUUUAUUUUCGUCUAUAUUUAAUGCUUUAUGCAUGUGCCGAAAGAUUCGAUGUGACAGAAAAUUUUGAAAAUUUUUUGGUUUUCUAGAUUAAUAAACAAGGCCUAGGUAAAAGAAGCAUCGUCUGACAUCUACGUGACAGAGCCCAUCGGCCCAUGUGAGGGCCUUGUUUAGGCCUUGUGUUUAGGCCUUGUUUAGUCUUCGAGGGAAAAAAUUUCGUGACACUGUAGCACUUUCGUUUAUUUGUAGUAAUUAUUGUCUACCUAUAGGCUAAUUAGGCUCAAAAGAUUCGUCUCGUCAAUUUCGACUAAACUGUACAAUUAGUUUUUAUUUUCGUCUAUAUUUAAUAUCUAUGCAUGCGUCUAAAGAUUCGAUGUGAUGAGGAAUCUUAAAAAAAUUUGGGUUUUUGGUGGAAGUCCUAGGGCCUUGUUUAGUUCCUCUUAAAUUUUACAAAAUUUUGAUUCCCGCGCACAUCAAAUCUUGUGACUCAUACAUAAAGUAUUUAAUAUAGAUUAAAAAUAACUAAUUAUAUAAUUUGUAGGUAAUUUGCGAGACAAAUCUUUUAAACCUAGUUAGUCUAUAGUUACACAAUAUUUAUCAAAUACAAACCAAAGUGCUAGGUACUAACUUUAUAAAAAAAUUGCAACUAAACAAGACCUAGGUAAUCGUGGCCUUGUGGUCACUUUUAUUACGAGUUCAGUUUUAUAUUAUUUCUAUUCUCAAAAAAAUAAUAUAUAUAUAUAUAUAUAUAUGACUUGUAUGUUAUUUUAUUGCAUUAGAUCUGGUAAACAAUUGCUAAGCUAAUAGAAGAGAAAUAAUAGAAUAUUUGAAUAUUAUAGAGACAUAGGUGAUCAAACGAAUAGCAUAUGUAGAUGACUUGUAUGUUAAUUGAUUAAAUAUUUAAAGUGUUUCACGUGAUAUAGAUAACAUGGAUAUUUUUUUUAAUUAAUAUAGGAUGACAUAGACUUAGCGGAGAAUGAUGUGAACACCUUGCAUGAAGAGAUAGAACAUUUAGUGGAUCACUUAGUGGGGUUUAGCUUUAUAAGAGUAUAUGACGUGACAAUGCUACUGGCAUGUUUAACUCUUUUCAAAAUGAUAUUUUAACUUUUUUGACCAUGCUAAUACCAUUGGCGUGUUAGGAUUGCGAUGUUAUGAUACUACGUGUGGUGCAAUAGCCUUGCUAUUGGCAGCGGGCGCGAGUAUUGAUAGGGGUUGGGGGUUAGCCUACUGUGGCACUUGUCUAUCGUGGAAUGCAAUAAUUGUCUUGUGUGGGCUCUUUUUUUCUCUUCUUUCUCUAGCGCUCAACCAAUGCUUCACACGUUGACCGUCGUCAACCAGAAUUCAGUGUUAAUGUAACAAUUUGGGCAUAGAUUCAAAGCGAAAACGAUCUUCCGCGCUUGAUUAAGGUAUACCCCCCUUGUGUUUCUUAGUCACAUUUGGUAGUUUAGAUGAUGGGCAACCUAAAUAAGGUUAGGCAAUUAUUUGUAAAUGUGAAUGAGUCAAACCGGAUCCUGACUACCUAGACUCGAUGUUCGAUCUCCAAACCGGACGUCUGAUUCUGCACAUACUUUUUUGCUCUAGAUCUGGUUUCUUGGAUGUCCGCUAAUUAGCGUCUUAACACUCCAACAAUUAAAUCUGAGACAAGUGGUAUUUAUACUUUCUUCUUCUCUCCGAUCAUAACUCUUCACCUAGCUCGAGCAAAACUCUUGCGCACCAUUACUCACCCUCUUCCUCCCUCUACCUCUCUCUCACACACACAACCUUCACUUGAGCACUUGUUCUUGUGUGGAUUUUAGAGGAGACUUACUUGAGACUCCAGAUUUGAACUCGUGACAUUCACAUCGAGCAUUUGAGAUUCCUCUAAGGCUUGCUUUGAGUUUAUUACUCUUGGAUUCUUGAAUCCUAGUUGACAAGGAGUUGUCCGAGAACUUUCAACUUGUGGAUCCGUCCAGGAAAGACAAUAUUGCCCAUUGUUCUUGGUGGAUUUCUCAAGUGAACUUCGUGGUCACUUGGGAGAGCUAAGGAGGUGAAAUAGACUCCGAUCUUUGUGGUUAUCUCAACACGGGAGUUUGGAUAUUUCUUUGUGGUUUGGCCAAACCACGGAUUAAAUCGUGGACUUGUUUAGGCCUUGUUCAGUUGUCGAAAUGCAAUUAUGGACUAACUAGACUCAAAAGAUUCAUCUCGUGAUUUACAGGCAAACUGUGUAAUUAGUGCUUGUUUUUAACUAUAUUUAAUGCUCCAUGCAUGUGCCGCAAGAUUCGAUGUGAAGGAGAAUUUUGAAAAGCUUUUUGUUUUUUGGGUGAACUAAACAAGACCUUAGUUCCCAAAAAAAAUGAAAAAAAAUUCAGAUUUCCCAUCACAUCGAAUUUUGUGGCACAUGCAUGGAGCAUUAAAUAUAGAUAAAAAUAAUAACUAAUUGCACAAUUUGUCUAUAAUUUGCGAGACGAAUCUUUUGAGCCUAGUUAGUCUAUAAUUGAACAAUAUUUGUCGAAUACAAACGAAAAUACUACUGUAUCUAUUUUUUUUUUAAAAAAAAAAGAACUAAACAAGGCCCGUAUGCAAUGCUCUACUUGUUCUUAUCGAUUCGAGCUUGUGAAAUCCUUGCUAGUAUAUUUGGGUGCAGGAAUCAUUGAGGUCAACUCUUCCAUCUCUCUACAAGACUUGGUAACAUUUUGUUGCUCGUCUCGGUUGUAAUUCUUGUAGAUUUAGUAGGGGGUCCGCUUAGACCAGAGUACCAGACAUCUGAUUUCCUCAGAUAUCCGAUGUCAAAACCAGGCAUAUCUGGUUAAAAACCAAACAUCCGGUCCAUACUAAUUUCCGCUAUAAGUUAAAUCCGGUGUCAAAACCAAACAUCCUCUUGAAACCAAACAUCUGGUCCAUACUAAUUUUCCGUUGUAAGUUUCUUUGAAAAUUUUAGAUUAGGCCUAUGUCGAUCAUAGUUCUGACCAAACAUAAUUAUAGCUCUGAUUAUCGUGCUAACCAAUCCUCACAACUUAUGCUACUGCUCUAUGUCGAUCAAAAGCGACAUACUAUGAUUACAUAUCGACUUUAUGUUGUUGAUCUAGUCACCACGAUAAAAGAAAACACAGACAGCACAUAGUACAGAUCAGAGGUAAUAAGCGACAUACAUAGUAUUUGUGGAGAACAAGAGGUGUACAAUUGUAAUGCGUCAGAGAAUCACAAAGUUCAUCAAAGGGAUUACAUUAUGGUACUGUUGAGUUCAGAUAUACAUGAAUUCCCCACCCCUGACAGCAUUUGCCGCACCCCUUCUAUCUUCUUCCUCCUCCUUUUCACGCUCCUUCCUGCUCUCAUACACAUGGUCAUCCGUCCUCAGCUCAUGCCGACAGAUAGGACAGGAGUUGUUCUCAUCCUAAAUGAAACAAAAAAUCACAAUUGGUUAGAUACACUGAUUACAAGUUUACAACAAUGAUGCUCCUCUACUCCAAAUCUACCUACUUAAUUUUGCAGGGUUCACAAGAACUUACCAGCCAUGGCUUCAGACAAGGAGGAUGGAAGAGAUGCUUGCAAGGAAGCUCCUGCAUCUUGUCAUCCACAACCAAGUUUUCACGGCAGACAGCACACUCCGUCUCACUGCCCAAUCUAGCGAUGACUUCCUCGGUAACAGCAAUGACAGGUAGAUUGGCAACAACUUCCUUUGAAGCCGGGGGUGCUCUUGGUGGAUGCUCAAUGAUUCCCUGGCAUUAAAAUGUAAACUCAAGAUCAGUAUUUUCACAUCCUAUUACAGUUUCAGCUAUCUGAAGCAGACUUACAUGGAAGAGCUAGAAAGUUGUCACAGAGAGAAGCUGCUUGACUACAAAUUGUACGGCUAGAUCCUUGCCACUACAUGCAAGGUCCGAUAAAGAUGAUAAUAACAAAUUUAAAGAGAAUUAUUUCCCCAUCCAUCAAAACAUGAUGAGACUACCAGUACUAUCACUUUAGUGUAGUGCAGAUUAGGUCUAGAAGGGUAGUUUGUCAUGAGAUUGGACAAACUAAAGAUCAGAAGCAUAGAGUUGAGUAGGUUAAAAGACCUAGCAGUGUGCACUGACAAAAGACCUAGCAGUGUACUAAAUAAGUGGAUUCUCAUGAAAUGAUUAGUAAUAAGUAUUCAUGCACACCUGCAGUGAUUCUUCCAAAGCAGUUUCUAGAUCCCUGUCGCCUGAUAUGGAUUCUAGAAGGUUCAUUAUAGCAGGUGUAAUCUCCUCGGCUCUAGGCACUGUUCUAUUGCUGUUCCCAUCUUGAUCUCCAGAGGAUUCAGUUAGUAUGCUCAAUUCCCGUGUUAAAUUCUGGGCAACAAGCCAUGCUGGAGGUGGAGGUUCCUGUCCCACAGUAAGGUGCCCUUCAAAAAGAAAUCUGGUGUCUGCGAAAAGCAACAUCUUAUUAACAAAUACAUAUUGAUAGGUAAUACUUUUGAGGAGAUAUAGCUAUGUUAAGUGCAUAACAAAAACAGACCCACAUUUGUUUUGUAUUUACAUAUGCUCAACUUGAUAAACCCGACAAAUGUAAUCUAAUUAAAUGGUCAGCAUUUGAAUGAGUUCUUACAACACUACCACGAGAUUACUCAUUUCAUACAGGGUUUCACAUGUAUUUAACUAUUUAUAAACGCUUUUGGAUGCUUCAUUAUAAAUAACAGUUCACCAUAGUACAUUCUAACUAAAUAUUUAGACUUUGUUUAUUAAUCUAACAAUAAUAUUUUAGAUAUGCUAUGUACCUGCUUCUCUGCUGCUUGGCAUGGAAUCCUCAUUUUCUUUUUCAUCAAGAUGCUCACGGGCCCUUGAAAUGCAGGUCUUCAGGUGCUCCUUUUCAGCAGGAUUGCUUACCAGCUUCUCUGUUCCCAUGAAGAGGUUCAGACCAGCACGCCAGAACCCCGGAGCUGUAUAUCUGGUUUGGAGCACUGUUGCAACACGGCAAACCGUCGAAUACAUCUGCAGAAAGUAACAAAUGCUCAAAAUAAACACAAAGACAAUAGACGACAUUCAUAAAAAAAAUCAACCAGUGGGGGGACUGCCCCAUGGCUUUUCCUUUUGCACUAAAAAAAUCUCAGUGAAACCAGUCCAGAAAGCCCCAAACCCUGGCCUCAUCCUACAGGGCCAUACAGUAACCAAGGCCGGUGACCACUGUCAUUACCCCAGCUGGCUAGUACUACUACUCGGUGACCAACCACCACACUACUAGUGUGUUUGCUAGAUGACACUUGUAACAGUCAAGAGUGAACAUAAAGGACAUUGAAGGCCAUAGCAGUCCAAAUAACUAAGAUUUUACGUAAAAGAAUACCAAUGUAGGCAUAUAGUUGUACUGUAGGAUGCAAAUUAAAUGACAAGAUCAUUUCUAGUUAAAAGAAUCACCAAUCGCACCUUUUUUAUAACAUUAAUAUAGAUCAAAUGACCAGAAAAAGAUGCUAUGCAUUUUGCAGCUCCAUGGCAAAUAUCUGAAUUUGUAUGUGUGUGCCAUAGAGUAGCAUAUUAUCUUUCAUGUACUCUUAGUUAAGCACAUCAAGGGAAGUUACCUUGGCCUUAUGGCUCCCUAUGCCCCACAUCAUGUGUUACUACUUUCUGCAGAUAAGUUUGUUCCUAAGAUGGCCACCAAUACUGGGGUUGUGAUGCCACUUUUAUAUGACCUCAAACAUGAUGGUCUUAGUUAGAGCAGUCCUUAAUUAGUAUAACAGGGGUAAAGCAAAGUGUCAUGGAUUGAGCUGCCAAAUGGGUCUGCCACGGACCGGGCUGCCAAAUGGGCUAGUGUUGUCCGGCUAUGAAGGUUCAGACUUCAGAGCAGAUGCCAGGAGAGGGGAUCGAACAGAACAAGUAUAGGCUCUGUCUUCUCCUACCUCUGAACUCUGCUCAUGUACUAGUUCUUGCUACUUGCCUCUGAUUCCUUGCUAUUUCUGAUUCUCUUGUGUUGUAUCCCAAACCACCAAUCACUGCUGUUGCUGAGAUUUGUCGGUCUAGGACCGUGACACAAAGUCAUGUCAUUAUUCAACAGGCACGUUACUAUAAGAAGAAGAUCAAAAGUUUUGACCAAAACCAUAUUAGCACAUAGUAGCACAGUGAGUUAAGCCAGCCUUGAUUUCAUCACUAUUGACGAACAAGUGCGAAUGUCCCUAGUUAAUUGCUAUGGAAACGCCAUGGCUAAAAAUUUAACAGUUGCAAUCGAAGCAAAUCCAUGUCCACGCAGUGCUACGACGGCCUACGGUUCCAUCAGCAUCGAAUUUUGGUUUUUGGAUAGCCAGCCGUGCCGUGCCGGCCACCCAAAUCCCAUGGAAGGCAACGAGAAUUUCUCCGUGGAGGAGGCGGGAGAGGGCAGGUGAGGUGGGGGUCUGCGUUACCGAUUUGCGGAGGGUGGGUGAGGCGCCGGCGUAGCGGUCCCGGACGGCGGCGGCGAGUUCGUUCACGGCCUCCUCGAAGUGCUGCUUCUUCCCGAGCCUCUGCCGCAGCGCCUGGAGGCGCGCCUCCACCGCGGCCUCGUCCGUGGCGGUCGCCGACAUGGCGGCAGGCAGCAGGGUGUGGUGGUGGUGGUGGGGGAGAGGACAACAGGGGGGCCUCUGAGUUUUGGAUCCGCGUCCUGUGAUUUCGAGAGUUUUGGGGGGUUAUAGGUAGGGAGGAUUGGGAAUCGAAGGUUGGCUGGCGUGCGUCGCCGCGGCGGAGGUAUAAAAAGGAGAGAAGGCCGAUGCCGGAGGUGGGCGCCGCGCGCUGGCUUGGAGGAGAGGAAAGAAACACCGCGGUAGUAGGCGGGACGGUGGCCGCUGGCCAGGGACAGGGAGGAGGCGCGGUGGCGUGCCGCUCGACGGGACGGGCCGGAGACUGACGGGGAGGAGGCUUGGCUUCCGUUAACUUGAGACGGCGGUUUUGAUAGCCAGAUGUGGUUUUUUUUUUUUGAGAAACUGGUAGCAGAUGGGUACUGAACCUGGACUUCGGUGUGUCGUUUUCUAGGCCGAAACUGGACGGCUAUGAGCGUGAUUUUUUUUUUUCCAAGAUCAAGCCAUUCACUCGUAUUUCAUAACUCCAAACGGCAAAAGAAAAAAAAGACACCUUUCGUUCAGGCCAGACAAUGUAUAUAUUGUGGCCCAUAUACUUUCCGCCAAGCAAACAUAGCCCACCUGCACCGUCUUCUCCUGGGCCUCGUAGGCAUAGCAAGGCCAUGGGUGAAACGCAGCAGCCAACGCGCGUGGGCCGCAGAGCUGAGCCCUCGUAACUACGGCCUCCAGGCUCCAGCGCACACGCACGUGGGCCGGGAGCGGAUCGGAAACUUCUCCGUGCGCACGCACGCGUACCACAGCCAACAACAUCCCCGUGCGGCCGUGCGUGCGUACGUGGCCAGCCAACCAACCAAAACCACGUUCGCACCGCCGCGGUCCGCGAAGGCGGCAGCAGCAGCGUGUCGCAGGCACAACCGAGCCCGCGCCUCCGGGGCCUCAUCAGCUGAUCAGCGUCUCCCUCUCUCUCUCUCUCUCUCUUUUUUUUUAUCUUUCCUCUCCGCGUCGUCGUCGCGAACAGACCGGUCGACUCUCGGCACGUCGGCCGCGCGCCGUCCUGGAGCUGGAGUAUCCAUCCUGUGUGUGACGCUAGCUAGGUGGUAAUUAUCACCGUUACCUCACCUCACCUCACCUCUGCAGUCUCGGGGACGGCGACCCGGGCACACGCCCGCGCGCGGAGCUGUUUGCUGCGGGACACCGCCCGGGACCGGACACUUCGGUUUGGCUGCUCGCUCGUAGGCGGCGGCCGGGGCACGUGUCUGAAAACCAGCCGCGAAACGGAACACACGCACACCCCAAAGCGGGACGCUGCAACACGCACGUCGCCGAUGCGUCCCCACGCGCCGAUGUCGCUAGUAAGUACAGUAUAGCACGCCCAUCAUCAACUUCGAUGUGCCAUUUGCCAACAAACCGGGCCAUGGCCUUAGGCCUUUGAACGAAACCCCGUCGAAUGGGAAAUGGGAUGGAUCGUCGUUUUGAACGGAGGGAGCAGCAGUACCGUAGAUCACAACGAGGUACAGCAGAACCACAUGUGCGGUCGGUCUCGCAGUUCCGAUAAAGAGACCAGAGACACGGUACUACGUCUACCGGCCCAUCCAUAUGGGACGUGCUGUAUGAAGAUUCCCGGAGGAUUAGGACUACCUCAAAAAAUACGGAGUACUCCUACUCCUACGUAGUAAUCCCUCCGUACUAAGAAAACAAAAAAAAAAACUGUACAUUCCUUUGAAGACAGGAGUACGAGCGUGUAGUCUCUCUCUCUCUCUCUCUCUCUCUCUCGCGGAAGCAAGUGAAAUUCACAUGCGCCGAGUCAGCCGAUUAGCCGAACAUGAUUUCUGUAUCAACGAAUCAUGUCAGUCAGGUCAAGCAUACGUAUAUAUCACUUCUCAACGUUUGUCCUCCAGCAUUAAAUAAAACAGCAGAGGUUUUCUACGUUUUCUUUUUUUUUUGAGAUAACAGGUUUGAUAGUACGAAUUCAACAUCGCGCUACAUUCAUCAGAGGAUCGGAUCGGUUAGGGAGAUAUCCUCUGGUGGUAUCAGGCAGUCCCAAUGGAAUAUUAAUGAUAGUUUCUAUCUCUAUUUAUUAUACUGCCAACUAAGCAAAAUGCUGACGUGGCAAUUGAAUUAAUGAAGAAAGAGAAGAGAUUUUGAUGAAACGGUUUCUUCUAUACGACACGACGUCUUCACUGGAAUCAAGACACGAAGAAACCAGUAAAAUUCCGUUGGGAAGACUCUACUCGUUUCUAUCCUCUUGCUUCUAGAUCAUGUGCGCCACCGUCGCCUGACGAGCUUCCCCUUGCGUGCUUGCUGCUACCCACACGCUCGCUCCUCAGGUGCUUUCUGCUCCGGCAUAGCUCGCUGCCGCCGCGCGCUUGCUGCUCCGGCAUGGCCCGCUGCUGCCGCUCACUGCUCGGGCCCUUGCUCGGCCGCGGCUUGCUGCUGCCGCACGUUUGUUGCUCCACCGUGGUUUGCUGCUGCCGCGCGCGCUCGCUACUCGGGCGCUUGCCUGCUCCGGCGUGGCUCACUGCUGCUGCGCACGCUCGCUGCUCGGACGCUUGCCUGCUGCGCAAUGACUCUCUUUGCUUACGAGCGUUCUUUCUCAUAGUUCUGUCCACGCAAAAAUCCUCGAGCAAGAGCAUGUUACUUUCUCCUUUCCCUAUUAUUCAUGAUGUGUUCCUUUUCAUUUCAAAAUUGGACGAUAGACAUUUCCUCUCCAGUGAAUUAGACAUCAGACACUGUCAGUGGGUGAACACACGUUUGGUGAAGCCACAUGUUGUUUGUAAAAAUAUUUGCCACAGCUGAUCCUCCUGUGUUUGUUGUUGCAUUUAAGUUGCUAUUUAUGUGAACAAAUUUAUAGAAACCAUGGGUUGGAAAGGAGUAGUUUCUUGGUGAGGUUUCCUAUGCUAUAGAAACUACUUGGUUUCUAUCAUUGGGACUGCCCUCAUACCACUUGUUUAAUCCAACACCAUACAUUUAAUUCCGUCCGAGGAAAUAUCUACUCUAUGAGUCUACGAAAUAAUCAAUUCUUAGAAUUUGUAUUAGUCACAUUUUUUAAAGUUUGACUAACUUUUUUUUAGAAAAGAGUAACAACAUCUAUGUCAUAAAAUAUACACCCUAUAAAAAAUAUUCUAUGAUGAAUCUAAUGAUAUUAAUUUGAUAAUAUCAGUAUUAGCGUUUGUUUCUAGAAAUUUAGUCAAAAUUUAAAAAUUUGAUUUAUAACAACUUUAGAAAAUUGGAGGGGGUAACAUCUCAACAUACUAUAGAGCAUCUCGUUCAAUUCAUUGUACCAUAUGUGUUCAAUGAUUGGCAUAUGACCGCAUAUAUAAAUAUAAUAUAUACAUUAAUUUUUGUGGUGCUCCUGGCUGCCAUAGUGCCAUGGCAUGCCGCAUGCCAAAACCGAGACACAAAAAAAGGGGCCGAGGUGACGCACGGCACGGAUGCGGACACGGAGAUUGUGCCCCCAAGUUGGCUAACCGCUCGCGCGUUUCCUACCUUGCAAAUUGAUUUUGAGAAAAAAAAAAACGCAAAAUGUGGUUGGGGAGUACGUGAUGAACUGCAAAAGUUCGGUGACCAGGCCACUGGUACUGCUGGUGGUUUUAUAUGUGGCCGAGUCCGUGUCCAAGGGAUGGGCUAAACUUCGUGCGGUUAUUAUUAUCAUUAGUAUUAUUUUUGUCACCAUGACACGACGAUGGGACGAUGGGACUAGCUACUGCUGUAUACUAAUACUCCCUCCGUCCAAAAAAAAAUGUCGUUUUAGAUUUUUAUGCCACAAGUUUGACUCGAUUUGUAGAAAAUAUAUGUAAUAUUUAUAUCUCGAAAUAAAUUUGUUAAAAAACUAGACUUAAAGAUCUUUCCAAUGAUACUAAUUAUGUAAUAUAAAUAUUAAUAUUUUUUACUAUAUAUUUAGUUAAAGUUAUUUCUCGGAAAGUGAAAACGACACUUAUUUUGGGACGGAGGGAGUAGUGUGCUAGUGUAUUGGCAAGAUGAUGACAUAGGCCUUGUUUAGUUCACCCUGAAAACCAAAAAGUUUUCAAGAUUCUCCGUCACAUCGAAUCUUGUGUCACAUGCAUGAAACAUUAAAUAUAAACAAAAACAAAAACUAAUUACACAGUUUAGCUAUAAAUCACGAAACAAAUCUUUUGAUCCUACUUAGUCCAUGAUUGGAUAAUAUUUGUCACAAACAAACGAAAAUGUUAUAGUACCGAAAAAUUUUCACUUUUCGGAACUAAACAAGACCAUAAAUUAUAUUUGCCCGCAAUGACCGUUGAAUCCGUGCAAGUGCUAGCUGCGAAAUCUGGAGCUCCAAGCCAGACGUAGUAUGUAUAGAUGUAGUAUUAUUUAUGUAAUUAAUCAAAGUCAAUGGCUUAGAGUGUAUCCUUUCAUGCGUAGUACAUGUGUGUGUCUAUGCUUUAUUACAGCUUGGAAAACGACAAGCCUCUGCAGGAAUCUUACGGUUUUGAUGGAUAUGGUACAAUUAGAUGACCGCACCAAACAAUUACCGAUCUCGGCAGACCUUUUAAAAUUAGGAAUGCACGGUGCCAAACUGCCAGCCGGGACAUUUUCAUUAAUUUUCUUCGCAGUUUUUUUUUGUUGUAUUUCUCCUUGCUAGAUCCUUGACGAUCGCCUAAUGGCGUGGUAUACAGAAUGAACGGGAUGGAGGACGCUACGUACACGUAUGGAUUACGAGAAGGUUAGUUAGUAGACGACAUAAACACGCGCUGUGCUGUACGUACUCACUACUCAUCAGGAAAAGGAUCGGAGGAGAAGCAGGAUCCAUCGGAGCAGUCGAGAAGAAGGCUGUCACGUCAAGAUCGUUUGUUCCAGCCUGAUCACCCGACGAUCUCGCUCGCCGGCGGCCGCUCGGCGGCUCCAGCCUCCAGCGGCAGUUCUCCGCCGGUUCGGCAAUCGACACCAACACAACACGUCGACCGGCAGCCAGCCGCUCCUCCAUUCCAAAACCCCAAAACUGCCUUUGCGAGGCCCAUAGUAUAGCCGGUUUCCUGCCUGCGGCGUUGUGCGUUUGCCAGUCGCCGCGACAUCUCGGCCGAAGCCGGUUUCAGUUUCCUCUUUGUGCUCACGAACGUACGUCUCUGCCAGGAAUCCCGUCCCAAACAGAGAAACCGAGCAGCUGCAUACGUACUGGUACAUGAGACCAGCAAGAUUGUCGUUCACGAAUCAUGAAUGGGCGCAAAGCAGGGAGGAAGAGUAGCUAGCUACUAGCGUUAUUAGGCGUGCUACACGCCGUAGUACACGGCGGCACAGGCUAGCUAGAGAGCGUCGUCACGUGAACAGCUAGUCUGUGUGACUAAUGACUAAUCUAAAAGCAGAUAUCUUUUAUCGAAAGCGAAGAUUCGUACAAUGCUUUGGUUAGAAUAUAUAUAUAUAUAUAUAUAUAUUAAAACAAGUGUACCAUGCAAGCCAACCUUCCGAAUACUUGGUACUUUGAUAUUUUAUUAUGAGAAUAUUUUAGAACUAUUUAAAUAACCUUUAUAAAGGUACUUUAGUUAUUUCCAUCUAAAAAUGUACUAUAUAUCACCAUGGUAAUCACGCUUUGAUCAGAACUGUCACGUGUUUUACGGGGGUUAGUGCUCCUUUUUCUCUCUUAUAAUGACCUUUUGUGCUUCGGUAAAAGAGGAAGGAAGGAUCGUUGGAGGUGAAUUUAAGGGGGUGUUGAUUGCAGGGACUAAGCGCGUCCUCGGCAGUUUGGUAAAACAACUUCGUAUCUUGAUUUUUUAUAAAAAAAAAGUUUUCUCUAACAGUUUGAUAAAAGAGGUACUUAAAAAUAAAAGUUGUCAAAUAUCCUCUUCAACUCAUAAAUUUGCAAAAUGGAGUGAACUCUUCAUCUCUCUAGUAAAAGAUAUGAUCGAAACUAGAAAACCAAAAAAUAACAAGUAGAUAUGCACCUUACUAUAAAUUUUUAAUUUUUAGAAAGCUAUUAUAGGUUACUGUUGGAGGAUAACAAAAUUUAAAGUUGCUAUUUCUUUUAUUAACUUGCUAGAUCUAUUUUUUUCGAGACGAAGGAUCUUCCCCAUUUCCAUUGAUCAAACAUAUCAAGUAAAUUAUACCAAACUCCUGGAGAUGCUCUAAGGCUCCGUUUGAUUUCAAGCGGUAAACUUUAACUUUUAUCACAUUGAAUGUUUGAACAUAUACAUGAAGUACUAAAUAUAGAUUAUUUAUAAAACUAAAAACACAGUUAGAGAAUAAUUUAUGAGAUAAUUUGUUAAGCCUAAUUAGUCUAUGAUUGGACACUAAUUAUUAUAGUUACAAAUGUGCCACAACACCUUUUAAACUUUACUCUCUCUAACCAAACAAGUCUUAAAGUUUAAUAUGUGUCACAUCAAAUGUUACAUGAGGUGAUUUAUGGGAUAUUUGAAUACUAAAAAAAAAUAAAUUACAGAUACCGUCAAUAUUACGCGAGAUGAAUUUAUUAAACCUAAUUAAUUUAUUAUUAGGACAUGUGUAUUGUAUUUAGUAUCUAAUUAUGAACUAAUUAUACUUAAAAAUCGUUUCAUAAAUUAGUCUCUAUCUAUAUUUUUAGUUUGAUAAAUAGUCUAUAUUUAAUGCUUUAUAUAUAUGUCGAAAUAUUCGAUAUGAUAAGGACUAAAGUUAGGCGUUGUUUAGUUGGUGAUUUUUUUUGCAAAAUGAUACUGUAACACUUUUAUUUAUAAUUGACAAUUAUUAUCUAUGGACUAACUAUGUUUAAAAAAUUGAUCUCGCUAAUUAUAGACGAACGGUGUAAUUAAUUAUUUUUUUUAUCUAUGUUUAAUACUUGAUAUAUGUACCGCAAAAUUCGAUAUGAUGAAAAAUCUUAGUUAUUUUACAAUGAUUCGGGAACUAAACAGCGCCUUCGCAGCAGUAAUCAAACGGGCCUAAGAUACUACUUCCUCCGUUCCACAAAUAAACACAUUGCUUUGAUCGGUAUGAUUUAUAUUUAAUCAUUUGUUUUAUUUAAUUUUUUUUUGCAAAUAGUAAAAUAAAUAAAUUAUUAUAAAAAUAUAUUUAACAAUAAAAUAAGUCAUAAAAAUAAAUAAUAUUUAUUAAUAUUUUUUUAAAUAAGUUAAAUGGUCAAACAUUAAUCUUAACAGUAAAAAAUAUAUUUAUUUAUAGGAGAAAAGAAGAGAGAUGAAGAAUGCGCCGAAGCGAGAGCAGCAGCACACGCGAGGCGGCAGGGGAGGCUAUACCUGGGCAUUAAAGAUGGCAACGGAUAAAAUCCGCGCGGAUAGUGCCAUCUCACGCCCGUGCCCGCGAGCAAAAUCUCAUGCCCGCAUCCGCGCCCGCCACCCGCCACGGGUAGCAACUUGUGUCUGUGCCCGCUAUCCGCGGGCAAAGCUUGCCCGUGGGCAUGCCCGUAUACUCAGCAAAUACCUCUAUUGGGAGGCACAAGAUUUAUUGGGAGGCAUCAAGAACAAGUGAACUUUCCUUUGAAAUUGCACAGGCGAUGGACUGCACCGCGGAGACGACGUCUGGGUUGGAGGCGCGCGAGUGGGGUCUAGAGCGGAGGCGGCGUCCUGGAUCAAGGAUGCAGCGAGUAGGGUCUCGAACUCUGAGGAGCCGGCCAGCUGUGAGUGGAGACGGUGUCCUAGACCUAGAGCGGUGUGCGCCGCGAGCAGAGCAGCCGCGCUUGUCGGAGUGGAGAUGGCGUCGUGGAGCGAGGAGCCUUCGAGCGGGGAGGCCGGAGUCGCAGGCUCACGAAGCAAGGAGGCGGCUUUGCGGAGUCGCAGGGGUGAGGGGAGGAAGUGACGGCGGCUGGUGGUGGAGUGGUAGAAUUGGGAAUUUGGAUGAGAAAACCCUAGCAUCUGACUUUAUAUAUCUUCUCGACAGUGGCCCCACAUGUCAGUGCGGGUUUGGCGGGUUUGCGGGUACGGGCAUGAUCUUUUCUUACCUGUGAAACUAUGCCCGUUGGGCGCAACUUUCUGCCCGCGCCCGUGUCCGUGGGCACAGAUUCGUGCCCAUAUCCUCGCCCGCCGGGUCGGAUGCCCGCGGGUACGCGGAUAUUUUCUGCCCGUUGCCAUCUUUACUGGGCAUGCAGCCCGAGCCCGUGAGCACGGCCCGAAGCCCGUCAUUUUGGCCCGGCCCUAGCCCGGCCCGGCCCGAAAGUCAUUGGGCUCAGGCUGGCACGGCACGGGGCUGCAGGCCGUGCUUGGGCCGCACUUCAGGCCCGCGGGCCGGCACGGCCCGGUCCGUCAAAUAACAACAUUGUAUAAAAUAACUCAUUUUAAUAUCUAAAUCUAUUCUCUACAUCUGUCAUAUGUAUUUGAAUGUGUUCUUUAUACUGAUGAAGUGAUGAAUUGAUGAAUGUGUUUGAAAUAUGCUUUUAAAUCUGUGUUUAUUGAUAUGUUAUUGUUCAACGGGCUAUGGGCUGGCCCGGCCUGACGGGCCCGCCCGGUACGCAAAAUGGCCCACGGGCCCGUGCCUGGGCCGGAGGUCAGGCCCGCAGGCCGGUAAGGCACGGCCCGCAGGGCACGACGGGCCCCCUCGGCCCGUUAGGCAACGUGCCGGACCGGGCCGGGCCGGCCCGUUGCCCAGGUAUAGGGGAGGCGAGUGGCACGGGCCCCACCGCAGCUAUCUCCUUUGGUGUCGUUGUCCAGUAGUGCGUCAGCGUCGCAGCUAUAUAGCGGGGCGUGGCCAGCUACCAUCUCCCCCACUCCGCCCAGCCUCCCACCCCCUCCCCACACUCCUUCCCGCUCACCGAGAGCCAGAGGGGGCAGCCAAAGCCGUGCCGCAAGCCCGCAACCACAAAGAUCUUGCCUGGCCUCCUUUUUCCCCCCAAGCUCGUCACUGUGCCGCUCGUGCCCUCCGCUCCCCCGGUCCGGUCCGCCACACCAAUAAUCCAUCCACCACCCCGCUGCUGCGGCGAUGUGCGGCGGCGCCAUCCUCUCGGGGUUCAUCCCGCCGUCCGGUGUGGCGGCUGCGGCGGCGGCCGCCAAGAAGAAACAGCAGCAGGGGCGGCGCGUGACGGCCGACCUGCUGUGGCCGGGGCCCGGCAAGAAGGGAGCGCUGCCCCAGGAGGAGGAGGACGACUUCGAGGCCGACUUCCGCGAGUUCGAGCGCGGCCUCAGCGAGGAUGACGACGUGGACGGCGCCGGCGAAGGCGGCGACGACGAGGUCCAGGAGCUUGCUCCGCCGGAGCCGGUGAGGUUUGCCUUCGCCGCCGCGGCUAAGGCGCCGCGCCCUGCAGUUGGUGAGCACCGCAUUAAAGUCGCUACCUUUUUUUUUCUCUCUCGUUACAUGGCACGCACACUGGUUAGACGGGCGAAAGAAGGAUGACUCUUUUGCGGCGCUGUUUCUCGAAUCUCCUUUGGUUGUUGAGGAGAGGACUGGGGUUCCAUGGAACUGCGGUGCAGCCAAACAGUGCUUCUCUUAUAUUCUUUUGGUUAGCUUGGAGUGGGCAAGGCUGUUCAGACUUUCAGUGGGAACUGAUGACGGCUGCCUUGGUAUGUUAUAUGCAAUCUGCUAGCUUCUCUGUCUGGAGUAAUAUAUGCUGCAAAUGGAGAAACUAUUACUACUAGUUCUUAAGGUAGUGCAUGUGCUUGCUCUGUGUUAUGUAGAUCAUUGUGCUAACCCGGGAUUUAUGCAAGGAAGAUUUGUUGAUUUUUUUAUAUAUAUAACUUUACCGUUAACAUAAAUGAUCUAUUGAUCAAUUAUGAGAAUAAGACAAUAAGUACAUGCAUGUCUUGUUAGGGUAUUAGUUUAGUUGUAUUUAGAUUGGGUGCCUUACUCAGACUGAUGUUUAGUUAAUUUCAGAAUUUCUGGAUUUUUCCCUUGUUAUCUCCUUAUAGGUAGUUACCUUCAGGUCUAAAUUUCUAUCUGUCAAUUUUAUUUUUUUAAAUCCAGGUUAUGCUGUUUUUUUUGGUGUGUGUGUGUGGGGGGGGGGGGGGGGGGGGGCUCAAGACAAGAAUUUGAGUGAUUCUAAUUUACACGUUCGUGAUUCUUAAGUUAAGUAGGUAAAAAAGGUAUUCUAGUCUGUGUUAAUUGAAGAUCUUGAUGGAUCUUCAAAGGUGACUGAUUGCAAUAGAGCAUCAAACUGUUUAUUGGAAGCAUAUGCUCAUGGGCAUUCUGUGUACCAGAGAUUGCUUAUACUCUUAAUUUGUCCGAGAAAAGGACAUUAUUUAUGCUUCAACCUCUUUGUUGUUUGCUACUAUUCUCCAAUUCAGCUACCCGAACAAACUACCUACGAUUAGAGUACUUAUUGGUUGGUUACAAACAAUUCAUGCUAGAUGUGGAUUGUGUCCAAUUCCUGGUCACCUGCUUUUUAUCUGAUGAUAUAAUUUCGUGAAUCUGGGACAUAAAACGGGAAACCAUGAUUAACAUAUAAAUUGUCUAUUAUAAUAUAUAAAUUCAUCAUCUAUUGGAGUGGGGGAUCCUUUUCUUAGAUGCUGAGAUAAUUCAAUAAUAAUAUUGCAUACUAGAUUACCAUGAAUUUAGAUGAUGGUUUGUCCUUCUAACAAUAUUGAUUGUAUUUUUACUAUCUGUAGCUAACUGGCUAUCGAAGUUCUUCUGUAUGUGUUAUUAUCUGCUCAUACAAGUGUAUAUUCACUUCUUUACAAAGCUUGCAAACACCUAUUCCAUAUGCUGUUGAGAUGGACUGAUAGACAGCCUUUAUUAUAGAUGGUGUGAUGACUCCAAAGGAUGUUCAAGGAGAUAGACCUACUGCUAACUCAGUAAAGCGCAACCGGAAGAAUCAGUACAGGGGAAUCCGCCAGCGCCCUUGGGGCAAAUGGGCAGCUGAAAUCAGAGACCCUAGCAAGGGCGUCCGUGUUUGGCUUGGAACUUACAACACUGCUGAGGAGGCAGCUAGGGCAUACGAUGCUGAAGCUCGCAAGAUCCGUGGAAAGAAAGCGAAGGUCAAUUUUCCUGAUGAAGUACCAGGUGCUCAGAAGUCAACUGCAAAGCCAACUGAUUCAAAUGCAACAAAGCUAGCUCCACCCCCAAAGGCCUGUGCUGAUGAGGUUUUCAGUAACCUGAACAAUGACAACAAUGAUUUGUUCGCAAUGUUUGCGUUCAAUGACAAUAAGGUUCCUGUGAAGCCAGCUGAGGUUGCCAGUUUCCUCCCUGCAGUGAAACCUCUGGUGCCCAGUAAGAGAUCUGCGACUAACAUGCUUUCUGACCAGAACAGCAACUCCUAUGGCUCUUCUGACUUUGGGUGGGACGAUGACACCAUGACCUCAGGCUACACCUUUGCUCCCAAUAAUGCUAUACCAGCAUCUUACAUGCAAGGUGGAGAGUCAAAGAGAAUGAGGAACAACUAUGGUGUAGCCAUGUUUCAGGGAAAUGGCGCCCCCAGUCUCGCACAAGUCAUGCCUGGUUUUGAUCCUGAGAUGAACUAUCAGCCAUUGCCUUAUGUUGAGAGCAGCUCAUCAGAUGCAUCAAUGGACAGCCUUCUACCACAGGAUGGGGCAAGCAAUGGGGAUAUCUGGAGCCUUGAUGAGCUGCUCAUGGCAGCUGGUGCUUAUUGAGAAGCUAUGGUUAUUAUCAGUGUGGCGUGUUAACAGCAAAAAAAUGUAAGGCGCCCAUACUGCCUUUUUUGUUUUCCCCACACCGCGCACAUCUCUUGUAGAAGAUUUACUUCUGCCGUGAAUGGAGUUUCUCAGCUUCGUUUUAUUUUUAUGCCAGGGCUCCUACCUGUGGUGAUGCUGGAGGGGCAAGCCAGUUGAAUCCGCUACAUUUUGUCGCGGUAGUUAUAUAUGGUAGAUUACAUAUAUAUGCUUUUGCCAGUUGAACUCUAUGACCAUGUUUAUAGUAUGUUGCUGCGUGGUGCGUCUAUGAUUGGAAGCGAGUUUGAGACUGAUUCAAUAAUUUACCUUGCCUAUGCCUGCUGGACUGUAGUGUGCGUACUGCAUGUUAUGUGUAUAUAUAUAUAUGGUGUGCUUAUGUAUUGCAAUUCUUUGUCCGGAAGCACUCGACUUCGCUUUCUACGCAACAUUUCUUUUCGGGAAAUGGUAGGUGCCGGCCAAGUCCGACGAUCUGUGGCACCAGAAAUCGAGAAAGAUCUGGAUGACCUAAUCAAGCUUGCUGGUUUGCUGAUGUGUAUGCUUGUUUGUCUCACUCAGCUGUUUGCUGGGAAUAAAUUAAUUAAUUAAGUUUGCGUUAGAUUCCGGCUGGGCUGGAGUUGUGUUGUUUAAGGGCCAGUGGUCGAGCCAUUAGCUGAACCUGGGCGGGUUCUGUGCUAUAUAGUUUUAUGCUCAAAGACAUUUUUAUGCUGCAGACGGAUACUGGAACAGAUAGUUUUAUCUUGGACUGUGACCCCAAGCUAAGGUGGUGAAUCGCACACUGGAUUUGGUAUCUGGUUUUGCUUUUCAAGCUUGGCACUGAGGUAUAGUACAGCCAUAAACAAAGCCGAAUUCUUGAGAACUUUUUAGACCAAAAAACAAGUCUUGAAUCGAAUUGUAGUAGCUGUUCACAUAUCUUUUUCACCUUAGGCCUUGUUUACUUUCUCCUAAAAAUCAAAAAAAAUUUAAGAUUUUCUAUCAGAUCGAAUCUUUAGACACAUGCAUGGAGUAUUAAAUAUAGACGAAAAUAAAACUAAUUAUACAGUUUGCCUAUAAUUUGCGACACGAAUCUUUUGAGCCUAGUUAAUUUAUGAUCGGACAAUAUUUAUCAAAUACAAAUAAAUUGCUACAGUGCUCUAAAAUUUUUUCGAACAACAACUAAACAAGGCCUUACAUGCCUAGUGAUCUUCUUUUGGGCAAGUGUCAAUAUUAAUGCGACUGCAAGACUAGAGCAAGUCUGCUUUAUCCCUGAUUUUUUGUCAAAAUAUUUGAACGGAAAACGAGCAAAUUGGCCAACUUGGGCCUCUGGCUGUUGCUUAUGCUGUCAGUUGUGGUCGUCAAGGAAUUAUUGCCAUGGCGUCAGUGACAGAGCCUGCUCAUUUAUUGCGGUUUAAGGAAGUCAGACCAUCACAAGUGGGUUUUCACAAUGGCACAGCUACCGCCCCGAUGUUGUUCAUCUUCCUCCUCCUCUCUCCUCACUAUCACCUUGGCACCUCCUACCUUCUUCCGGCUGCCGAUGACCUCAUCGUCGGCCGCCUACACCCGCCGCUCCUUCCCUACCAUUUCUAAUCCCAAUUUCGAUGACUUACCUCUUCCUUCUUGCUUGCCGCCACCUUCGACCUUGCGUUGGCUGUAGGCUUCCUGGCCAGCGACCUCACCACCAGCCGUCCACCCUCGCCGCUUCUUUUCCAUCCUUCCCUAAUCCCAAUCCGCUAGUGACCUAAGUUGCUGUCACCCCCACAACCAGCACCACUCACCGGUUGUUCGGUUCUACCUGCUCGGCGGCACCACCAUCAUCGAGCUUGCCACCGGUCGAACCGUUGCCUUCGCCGCGCUAUCCAGCCGCUACCGUUAGGCCCCUCCCUUUGUAAGGCUGCCAGGUAUUGGUGGUGAUGGCGGCGCACGGAGGCCCGUCCUACCUCUAAAGGUGUUUGUGGCCGCUUCCGGACAAACAAACAGUCGUGUUACAACAUUAUUGUUUUUAGAAAAUUUGACUCCAAACCUUGGACCAUCGAGGGCAAUCAUUUGUGUGGAGAAGUCUAUAUCUCUUGCUCAAGUUUCCAACUUGUAAACGCUGAGCUAAUAAGAAACCAUGUAAAUUAAAAUAUAUGCCUCCAAUGCCCCAAUGCCCAUUUAAAGCGAUGCAAAUCACCUCUAAGCUAGUGUUUUUUUAUUGUUUUUGUGUUUGUGUGUUCUAGUUUUGAUUGGCGUAACUGUUUCUUCACCAUCCAUUUCUUCCCCUGAUGUAGUGAAUAAUGUUUAAGUUGUUAAUGCAUCUUGGACAUGUCAAAAAAAUGGGAUGAUUUCUUGCGAGAUAUAUGUUUUCGUAUUGGGGAGAAUUGUGGUGCAGCCGGUUAUGUGAUUGAGGAGCCAAUGACCUUGUCUUCCUCUACAUUGGUGCCCUCAUCCCACUAGUUCUUCGGCUAUUCAUGAUCGAUCUGGUGCCUCCUCCACCGCUUGUCGUGUAGGCCCUCCCCUUUCAUCCACCGAUGUCUCCUAAUACGUCAUCGUGUUGCCUGCCUCCCUUCACUGUCCGUCGUCCUCUUGACCCUAUCCUUCCGUGACCACUCUUUCCUCUAACCACUCGAGGCGUGAGGUACCUGAGGCUGGCAGUGACCUUGUUGCUUUACUACACCGCCAUAUCGUGGCCGCAUCUCCAAACCUCCUUCUAAAUCCGUCGGUGAUUGAGAACCCUAAGUUUGGAUCCUUCUUCUUUCUGUGACGACAUGUGGAGGGGGCGCGCAACCAUCAUAGCCUUGAGUUUGACAUUGCAAAAGUAGGAUGCAACAUUCUUUGAACUAGGCAAAUCUGAACAUUUGACAAGGUACCAUGAGGAUUUUUUUUACGUGUGUUAAUCUAAUCUUUCCCUGGUGUAAACCACAUCCUCUAAAUUUUAUCCUUUUUAGAUUAAAGAACAUAACAUUUGGGCCUCCAACAUUCGUAAAUUUAAAUGAAUGAGUAUAGCCGUUCAUAACAACUCACAUAUUGUUUAGACUACGCUAGCUCUACAGUACGGCGACGGUUAAGACUUGGAACAAAGGAAGGAAACUCAAGUUCCUAUCCUAAUCCAACUUGACCACCUAGAUUCGCUGAAGAAUAUCAACACCAUGAUAGUCUCCGUCAAGUGGCUACAUACAUUCAUCUGAAUCUGAAUUUUAUCUAUCCUUAAAAACACAGAAGCGGAACCUCGAUCGACAGAAAAAUCAGUCUACCAUAAGGAAUUGACUGAAACCAACCUCCAUUGGGGGCUGGAUAUUUUGAUCGAUCCUCAUCUUAAUCUUAUCGACUAGUAGACCAUUUUUCACAUUGAAAGUAGUACCUGCGCGUGAUGGAUGUGGAUGAGGCUCUACGAGAGACAAAACGUCGCGGCCUGGAGCACAGGGCCGCCGUGGCCGUCGUCGCGCGCAAUAAUGUGGCCAUCGAGCACUUGGGCGCGCGCGCGGAAAAGGACCGCACGAGCACGAUGCUCCGUUCUUCAGUUGGCUCAUCACUUGUUGAUUGCCACGGACGGACGCGAGGACGAUGGAUCCCACUGCCAUUAGCACAGUAUAGUAGGUUCAAUGAACUGAGAGCACGUCCCUCUCAGAUAGUAUCACCAAUGGGGUACGGCAGGCCUCUUUCUAUUGCCAGGAUACAAACAAAACAAGCUGGUAUUUCUUUCCUUGCACGAACGAUGAUGGACAUGGACCCGCUCUGCUCGCCAGCAUCGGGUGCCCAUGCAAUGCAUCCAGCUGCGAUUGCGAAUUUGCGAGGAGGAGGAAGUAAUCGCCGGAGGCAAUUUGUCCAAAGUCUUCAGAUUUUUUUUUUUUUUUUUUUUUUUUUUGGGAACAAGUGCUGGAUCGGGGGAAUGAUUCGUUAUGAUUUCUUUCCAGGAAUUUGGAUGUAAAACAGUUGUAUUUCCUGCAGAGACUGAGAGUUGUGCGUGAUAUAUCCUCGUAUUCCAAAAUGGGUCCUCCUCACUCCUCAGUCGAUCCUCGCCCUCGUUUGUCCUCGUGACCAGCAGAAUUGGCUAAAGUCACCGGGUUUGUCGUGUACCGAUCGAUCUCCAUUAGAUUUGCUUCGACAUUAUCUGGGAUUAGAUUAUCUCCAUUAGCGUAAGAAUGAGUAUAAACUAAACAUAGAUGCAUCGAACUGGCAUGGCAUGGCAUUGGAGGUUUCUUAAUCUUCUCGUCAACUAACCCCAAUCCUUGAGUACACUGCACCCGCCCUUGCAGCGAGCUUCACUUUCCGACUCCUCCCACAUGUACAUAGUCAAGGACGACCCACUUGCUAUAUCUGCACUGUUUCAUCGGCACCGUAUUGAUGCGUAUAAAUCCUGUGUCCACACGCGCUGACACGUAUAUUUUCUAUCGCCAACGGCUAUCUACGUAUAUUUUCUAUCGCAAACGGUUAUCAAUUAAUACACCUUUGGCUGAAAAUUGUGCCACUAUGUGUUGGUGCUACGGUAGGACUUGUACUCGUUCUCGUGUUUCCCAGUAUCUGACGUGCUUGAUUGUGGCAGCAAGUUUGUUGCGGUUAACGGCCGACGACGAUGGCUAAUUAGCGCUCGUCAGCGCCUCAGAUCAGAGACCACGUACCGUCUAUAGACUAGGGCCGUUUAUAUUCCGUACUAGAGACACACCAUUUCACCGGCUGGCCGGCCGGGACCGGAUUUGCCCCAGCGCACAACUAGCACCACCACACGCAGCCAGAGAUAGAGACAUACUGUUUUCGUACUAAAAUAUAUACCAACGGCGUGUUUGAGACUACUCUGUUCCAUGUUUUUCAGCUUCGCUCCAUGUUUUUUAGUCAAACGAUUUCAGCUCCACGCACUCAGUUCGAGGAAAAAAGGUGGAGUUGUGAGAACACCUAAAGAGAUACUCCACAAACUCCAGUUUUUUUGUGAAGCUGCUCUAUGGUGGAGUUUGUGGAGCAGAGUUUGUGGAGCAGUCCCAAACACCCCCUAAGUCUCUAUAUAUUGUAUUGUUUGAGGAGACGAUAUGAACUUUGAUUAAAUAUAUACUAAAAAUCACAAUAUUUAUAUAGUUACAGUAAAUAUUGGUUUUAUUUUCUUCCUCAAAGUUUAGAUUGAUUGACUUCUCAAAAUAUGGGAUAGAGACUUAUUUUAGGAUAAUCUCAACUUUAAUUAAAUAUACACAAAAUUUAUGAUACCCAAUAAAUAUUAUUAGAUUAAUCAUGUGUAAUAUUUUGUAUAAUAAAUCUAUAAUUGGAUAUACAAAUGUAGUAUUUUUUUAAAACAUAAUUAAGUUUAGAAUAAUUGACUUCUCGAAAUGUGAAAUGUGACAUGGAGACUUAUUUUAAGAAAGAGAGUACGAUCACUUGAUCGUGCAGUCGUGGCUCGUGCAUACUUUGCGUUGGUGUCAUGUAUAUCUGGUCAAUCGACAUCACGCAAGCUUUGAUCGAUUGCCAUGUUAGCCUGUAUCAGGUCUAUGCAGUGGAGUAUAUUCAUAUUGAUUGAUUAUAUAAACUCUUAUGCAACAAUGUUCAAAACAGAUCCAAUACUAUAUUAGCUAGUGCUAGUACACCUGAUUUGGUCCUAUUAGACAGGUUUGUUCAAGCCGAUGCGUACAAAAAUUAAUAUUGUCAUCUUUCAUAUAUAUCAGCCUCUACUAAAACAUGAUACCUCAACUAAAAUAUGAAGGUGAAUACGUGUAACAAAAUUACAUAAACGACCAAAUCAGUUUUAUGAAGUGUGACUUACUUGUGCAGAAUCAGAAUAACCAAACACCAUGGCACUGCAUAUGUUUAAUCGUUUACGUACGCUGACUUAAGUUAUAGCUAUUUUUAUUUUGGAAGCUAUUUUAGAAUUUCUAUAGCAAAAAGUAGGCUCCAACAAAUAUACUAUCUAGUUUUAUAACAUAGAAAGCUGAUUAUCCCUUGAUUUUAGAUGGCCAUAUAAAGCCAACCACGGACCGUAGCUAUGUGAAAAUGAGAAAUAGUAAGGCUGCUGCAGAUCUCUUCUUCCUUAAAGAGUUUUCUAUUUUACAAAAUGACUAAACUAUAAAAUUUGGCUAGUAAUUUUAGCCAAACUAUUGAAGUUGCUCUAAGGUCUAAUAUGGACUAAAAUUGUUAAUACAAGCAACCAAUUAGAUACAUAUAUAAGCAACGUUUGGAUCUAAGUAGCUAAAAGUUAGCUGUUAACCAUUAGAUCCCUUAAAAAUGUCUAGUUAAUUGUUAGCUAAUACUCAACUAACAACUACUUUAUCUCGCUACUCCCUUCGUUCGAGUUGUCCUAAGUCAAAAUUUUAAAAUCUUGAUCGAAUUUCUAGAAAAAAAUACUAAGAUUUUUAGAAGUCUAAGCUUCGAGAAACAGAUAUAUUACAUCAUAUAUCUCUAGUAGUAGCUAAUAAUUAGCUAGCUAAUAUUUAAUGCUAUAAGCUAUGCUAAUUAUUAGCGGCUAAUAAAUGGAGCCGUGCUCGAUAUACUCCUAGCUGGCCCUGCAUGCAGCAUGACUCAUGAAGCCUGGCCUUGUUUAGUUACCCCGAAAUUUAAAAAGUUUUCAAGAUUCUCUAUCACAUCAAAUCUUACGGCACAUGCAUGAAACAUUAAAUAUAGAUGAAAACAAAAACUAAUCACAUAGUUUAACUGUAAAUCGCGAGACGAAUAUUUUGAUCCUAGUUAGUUUAUGAUUGAACAAUAUUUACCACAAACAAACGAAAGUGCUACAGUAGCGAAAUCCAAAAUUUUUUCACAUCUAAAUAAGUCCCCUAUGGCCUUGUUUAGUUGCAAAAUAUUUUGCAAAAUGUGAAUAGUAGAAAUUUCGUUUGUAUUUAACAAAUAUUAUCUAAUCAUGGACUAACUAGGCUCAAAAGAUUCGCCUCGUCAAUUUCGACCAAACUGUGUAAUUAGUUUUUAUUUUCGUCUAUAUUUAAUACUUCAUGCAUACGUCUAAAGAUUCGAUGUGACGGGAAUCUGAAAAAUUUUGCAAAAUUUUUUAGAAACUAAAGAAGGCCUAUGUAAGGCUAGACGAUCGACGAUGCGACGUAAGCAUAGGUAGCGGUGUAGCACUCCGCCACUCAGCCGACUUGUGUCGACGGGAAAUUUGAUCCCCCCCUCAGGGUUGCAGCCUCACAAGAACAUAUAUAUAUAUAUAUACGUACGUAGGUACGUUCUUUCGUGCUCUAGUUGUUGCUGCGACGAGACGACAACAGCGCAUGAUUGGGUGGCCUUGUUUAGUUCACUCCGAAAUUUAAAAAGUUUUCAAAAACAGCGCAUGAUUGGGUGGCCUUGUUUAGUUCACUCCGAAAUUUAAAAAGUUUUCAAGAUUUCUCGUCACAUCGGAUUUUACGGCAAAUACAUAAAGUAUUAAAUAUAGACGAAAACAAAAACUAAUUACACAGUUUGUCUGUAAAUCACGAGAUGAAUCUUUUGAUUAGUUAGUUCAUGAUUAGAUAAUAUUUGUUAAAUAAAAACGAAAGUGCUACGGUAGCAAAAUCCGAUUUUUUUUUUCGAAACAAAGGCCUCACCCGCUGGUCCGUAUUCGUCGUCGACGAGCGUGGCUGAGGCUGCCUAGGGGCUAGAGGGUAGAGGGGUGGGAGGAGUUCGCAUUUGCAUGCAAGGCUCCGGGCUCCGGCCUCAGGCAAUGCCAAUUAAUGCCGACAACGCCUGAGGCGGACGGCACGGGCCUUAACUAAACGUGGGCUCAAGUAAAAGGGCCUUGUCUUGGACCGGCCCUCAACUUCUUCGACAGGGCCUGAAUCCCGGCCACAUCAUCAACCGUGCAUCCGCGGGCCUAACCGCCAAUUUGGCGUCUCCGGAGUUGAUUUGGGUCUUGUUUAGACAUGAAUUUUUUUAGAUUUCGCCACUGUAGCAUUUUCGUUUGUUUGUAGCAAAUAUUAUCCAAUCAGAGACUAACUAAGAUUAAAAGAUUCGUCUCAUGAUUUAUAGGAAAACUGUGUAAUUAGUUUUUUUGUUUAUAUUUAGUGUUUUAUGUAUGUGCCACAAGGUUCGAUGUGACGGAGAAUCUUGAAAACAUUUUGGAUUUUGGUGGGAACUAAACAAGGCCUUGGAUGGCUCCUAUUCCCUCCUCCUCCCUCCUCCCUUCCGGUAAGUUCGUCGAGGGGCAGUUUUUCGUAUGAUUUUUUUAUUUAUUUAUUGUUUCUCUCAUAUUGCAAUAGGUUUGUUGCCAUAUUACGACAGAUGAUUUUUGAAUGUUGCAAUGGGAUUUUGGGUCAUUGCAACAAAUGUUUUUGUGAUGUUGCAGUACAACUGAAGUUUUUUUUGAAGCUGCAACACAUAAUUUUUGAUGUUGUAGUACAUAUUUUUUUGCGAUGUUGGACUUGUUUUUUCGAUGUUGCACUACUUAUUUUUUGUUGUUGCAACGUAUUUUUUGAUGUUGCAGUGCAUGAUUUUCAAAGUUGCAAUAUAUAUUUUUAUGAUAUUGCAAUAUUUACAAUCCACUGUUGCACAAUAUAGUUUUUCCAUAUUUGUUUGCAAUGUUGCAUUUGAAAUAGUUUAUGCUCUUUUUUUGACAAGGGCAUGGUAGGGGAACUAGCUGCGUUAGAGAACUGGCAACAGGGGUGCGAUGGAAGUGAAGGACACUGAUUCCAUUUUAUUCCCUACCAUGUGCCGGCCAGACGGGCUCCCGUGCAUGGGAGUGGCGGGCGGAAUUUGUAACGGACUGGCUCGUGUGUCAGAUGCGAGUAGGAUUCGUAACGCACUCAUACACCGGAUGUCCAGGCGCUAGACAUAUACUGAAGUAAGGGAAUUGAAAGAGUAUAUCAAAGGAGAUUAGGAUGCCUAGGACCGGUGCACAAGUUUCGUCUCGUGUAUAUGAGCAAUUAGGCUUCCGUCUUGUUUGGGAUAUCCUUGUUUAGGCGACAAGAGAUAAUAUUAGAGAUGAAAUAAAAAAUGAUAAUAGGAGUUGAAAGAGGGUAUAAAAAGAAGUAAUAUGUUCGCUUGAGCUUUGAACAGUGUUUUUCUCUCACAACAAAUCAGCGAGCAGUGUUUUGACAUUUUCGUCUCGUGUAUCCGCUACUAGAUCGUACUAUACCAUGCGCAAAAAGUUUUAUUUCUUUUAGUAACUCUAGGUCCAAAUCUACAUCUAAAAUAUGGUUAGAGUAGCUCAGCUUAGAGCAGCUCCAAGGGAGUUUGCAAAUGGGUUUUGCAUUUUAGAAUUUGCCAAAAAAACUGAAAAAGAGGGGUCCAAUGGUUUGGCAUUUGAGUUUUGCAUUUUGGGCAAGUUGGCAUUUGGAGAAGGAGAAUUGGCAAAAAUGCCAAACUUUCCUUGGCUUGGCAAGUGGUGUAUCUGCGGGUUUCUCGUGGCCGUGACGUACUCCCGCACGGUGGGACUUUUCUUCGCGCCACAAAUAGGUUGCCGCGGUCCCUUCGCUUCUCCAGAUCGCGCCGCCAUCUUGGAUCGUCCCCUCCCACGCCGCCGCCGCCAAACAGAUCGCUUCGACCGUCGCCAUGAACUCAAGGCAGCCCGCCAUCCCUCCCACGCCGGCCUUUGUCCGUUCAAGGCCACCCUCCUUCAUCGGCCUCCGCACAGAUGGACAACCAAGCAGCCGGGUAUGUCUCCAUGUCUCCAUCUUCGGCGGAGAAGGAUUGGACUGGAGAUCGGUAGCGAAGGACUGGAGGCGGCGAAGGACUGCAGAUCGGCGCGCGGGAAAAUAAGAUCGCAGGAAAAAAGAAGACCGCGCACGGCACGAGGAACUCGUUCGCGCUAAAAAAAUUUGUUUGCCGGAUCCACCUAGACAAAUGCCAAGUUUGAUUUGCAAAGUCCCUUGGAGUACUCCUAUUUUUAGACUUUGCUUUUGUAUUUGGGACUUUGCAAAAAACCACAAAUGCCAACUCCAAAUGUCUAAAUGUCAGCUCCCUUGGAGUUGCUCUUAUAAUCUGUUUGCUUAGUUCGCUGUCCGGUUUGGUACUAAACCCCCGAUCGAGUUCGUCGCCCAUUCCCUUCCCCACAGGUCCACAAGCCGCAAAAAGCUCGCAACGACGCCCAGAUAUCACGCGAAACAGCACUCUGGUGCCUACGCCUUCGUCCUCCUCACUCAUCGGCGAGCCGGCGGGGCAUCAUCACCGCAUCAGGCAUGGCUGAUGGCCCGUCGUCUCGUCUAGGUUGUCUUCUCCAUGGCUAGCGGCGGCAUCUAAAGAGAGUUUCUAAACAAAAAAAAGGUUUAUACAUUUUCUAAAACAAAAGACUUUAUACAGUUAGACAUGAAAGUAGCAGGGUCGAUGCAUGGCUCGGUGCGGACUCCGUUGCCAUCGCCAUGUGCACAGAGAAAAUGGCGAGGAUGGAUGACAUGGAUACACCCAAUCAGGAAUUCAGAAAUAGGUCCCGUGGUCGGAACUGAAAACACAGAUUGUGGCACCUUCUGAAACUACGUAAAAUCUGGCAGUAUGGAAGUUUUGCCAACCAAAGGCAUCUCUUUUUCUGCCCCACAAAAAUGCAGACAUUUCACUGAUGCACGAAUAGCAAUGGCAUUCUCAAAUGGAAAAUGUGUGGGUGUCAGACUGGCAGUGGCAUUGCCACUGAAGAGCAAAGACAAUUCACAGAACAUGUCACACACAACACAAGCUGUCCUCAAUACUACUGUAGUUCUGAAACCUGUUUCAGACAUCUAUGGCUGUAAAUCUGCAGUCUUGCUCUUGCUCUCCCUACCAAGAAGAACCAUCAUAAGCAAUGGAUAACUAUAACUCCGCCGAUUAACAUUUGUCGAUCGACACGCCUGACUUGCAUUCCAAUCCUGCUUUCUGCAGAGUAAGAGCAGGGUCCUCUCUUUUGCCGAAAAAGCACCUGCAACGGGAACCUUUCUCUGACACAGGGGAGCCGCAGACGUAGCAGAAGCUAGUGCCACACCUGCACAUCUCAAAAGCAGUCAAAAGACGGAUGUUAGGCAAUUGUCGCGAUCGAAGGAUGCUGAUCAGUUUCCUCAGAGGUUCAGUCAUCGGAUGCCUGCACAGACAUCACUGAAGGCCAGACAACUGAAGAGUUUCAGAUGCCUGCACAGUUCGUAACUGAAUGCCUCCAGUAUUACUGAAGAGUUGCAGUAAAAUUCAGACUCGCAUUUUGACGAUCCCAAGAAAGAAAGACUGACAGGAGGAAGACAGAUGGAAGAGAACAAUACGCAGUACGUAAAUCGGAUAAUUACCUGCACACCAUGCGCCUGCACCCGUCGAUCUUGUCGAUCAUGGCGCGGCAGCUCGGGCAGCGCGUCCAUUUGUUCCCGACGGCGAGCCCGGCCAGCACGCACCCUCCUCGGCCGUCGCCACUGCCGCCUCCGUGGCGAUCGUCCCACGGCUCCUCGCACUGCAGGCAGAACGCGCGGGAGCACGUGGGGCAAUCCACCUCGGACACCAAGCCGCCGUCGGCGGCCUCCAGUGCCACCAGCUCGCCGCAGUCCCUGUAGGGGCACCGCGCGCGGGCGGGCCCCACGGCGCGCUCGCAGAGCGCGACGCACCAGGCGUCGAACACGUCGAUGUCCACCAGCUUCUUGCACGCCUCCGGGUGCAUGACGCCGUCGCGGCACUCGGGCGCCGGGCAGGGCACGGGCACCGCGCCGUUCGCGACGCGGCCCUCGAUGUACCGGACGACGCACUCGAUGCAGAAGUCGUGCGCGCAGCGCGCGUCUAGGACGGAGCCGCCGGCGCGGAACCGAUCGAGCACCAGCCGCCUCUCCGUGCAGAUGCCGCAGCAGAACCAGCCGAUCUCGUCAUCGGUCAGCGGCGCCACACGCGCGCGCGAUGACGACGGGCCCGGCACGGAGCCGCGGAUGAGCUCCUGCAGGUACAAGUCGUCGGAGGCGGCGCACGCGGCCGCGGCCGCUGCGUUCGCCAUGGGAUGGGGGUGCGUGGGUGGGGGAACGGGGAACGCGAGCCGAUGAGGUAGUGGACUCCGCGCAAGUCGUUGACGGUUGUUUCCUUGUAAGUUUUUUCCCUUUCCUUAAACACGAAGGAAAUGGAUUGCAAUGGGCUUCAAAGAAAAAAAAAUAGCGAGCUAUAGCGGCGCUAUAGCUUAGCUGCUGGACAGACUUGUCGCUACACUAUUUAUAUAUUUUUUCGCUAUCACAACUUUCAUCGCUAUUACGCGCUAUGCGCCACUAAGUUGUAUUUGUUAACAAUAAAUUUCACUGUUAUUAUACGCUAUAGCGCCGCUAUGAUAAAUCUUCUCAGUCUGACUCUCAAAACUCUAUCUUAGAUUAGAUUAUCAUUUAUCAUUUGUAACUAAUUUGGUAUUUUGGAUGAUGAAGCUUUUAUGAACCAUGAUGUAAUGUCAUAUUGGUAUUUUAUAAUGUUACCUAGACUUAUGAAAACAUAUUUUUAUUAAUCAAAAUUGAUAUUUACUGUGUCUUUUUCAUCAAUUACUCGUGUUAUAUAUAUAUUUUUUUAUUAAAACGCUAUCUGUUAUAGCGCCGCUAUAGCUACAUAGCUGUUGAAAAAAGUUGCCGUUAUUUUAAACGUUGAUGGGCUUACGGGCCAUUCGUCUUGGCCCGUAUAUGCAAAGCCCUAGCCCACCCUUGGCAGCACCCUUCUUCCUUCCUCUCCCUGCGUCAUGGCCAUGGAGGCAUGGAGCUCCUUCGCCCGAUCUAGUCCGACUGGCUCCACCAUCACCAGGACCCUAAAUCGCCUUCUCGCUGUUCCAACUACUUAUCUGAUGUCUCCCUAAACCUCUUCUCUUCUAAGCUCGCCGGAGUUGGAAAAAAAAGGGCUAGGAUAGACACGAGAGUGGCCGUCAGAUGCGGGCGUUGUGGUAGGUAAGAAGAACAGUGCACUGGUGGGCUCACCAUGUGUGUUGGAGUGAGAUGGGGAGGUAGGCGUGCAGUGGCAAAAACAAAAAACGGUGUCCUGUUUUGAAGUCACUACCAUUUCUAAUACAUAAUAUCCUUGUGAUAUUCUACACAAAUUUUGCGGUACUCUAGUAUAUAUGUCUUCUUAAAUACACGAACCUUUUCAGCAUUCUAGACUUUUAACUAAUAAUUUACUAUUUUUGCGCUAAUGGGUACCCAGGGUCCUGAAUCAGGGGUUAUUAAAAGUCACUCCAGAUUGGAGCCACGAUAGAAUUCGAGGCAUUGCUGGCUUCUCCACGCGGCGACACACGUCUCUAUACAUUUUGCAAAAACGUCCACCGUUUUUUAGUAAUCAACCCGCAGUCCUUGGACAUUUUGUAAAGAACCCCCACACUCAAAAACGAGCAAACCCUAAUCCCCUCCUCAUUCCUCUGGUUGCUCCCAUGCAUCGAUGCGGCUCGCCGCCCCCCUGCGCAUCCUAGCUCGCCGUCGUGCUCCUCGCCCUCCACCACGACCCAUGGGGCGUGACUCCCGUGGGCAACGGCUCACCGGGCAGGCGCGCAUGGUGGCCAUGGUCAGCGCCAGAGAAGGAAGCACUAGCUCCUCCCUGCCCUCUCCACCCCACGCCAUCUUCUUCCCGGCACGAGUGCCAUCAUGGCUUGAGCAUGGGAAGCCAUGCGACCUCUGUAGCAUGAGGGAGCUUGUGAGAUCCGGUAGUGCGCAGAUCAGGCGGAAGUCCCAUCGCCAUCCCCCUUCUCUCCCCCAAAGAGGCUCAAGGUGAGAAACGUGGGGGCUUUCAAGCCCUAGGGUUCGGUUGGGGGGUGAUUUAGACUUGAUCUCAUGGGUUUUUAUGGUUUGGUGCUUCAUGGCUGCCGACAUGGUGGAUCUGGCAACUGAAGCCUAGCGUUGGAUCAGAUCUAGCACCACGGCAUGCUUGUCAUGGUUCUUGGCAGGUGAGCUCACGAUUGGUUAGUUUGAUUUGAAUCUUGCUGAAUGUUGAUUGAUUUACCUGUGAAUUUCUGAUGCAUCUUCAAUGUCACGGUGUUGAGCUUCACAACGACCAAGUGGCCAGGGCAUAUUAUUUCAAAUCAACUUGCGUCUGAUCAUGUGAAUUCCCUUCUGGUCUACUAAAUUAAAGUAAUUUUACAUGUAGGCUAUUUAUGGUGGUUGCCUGUGUCAAUAUUUUUGUAGGUACAAAUUCAUAUGAAGUGAAAUAAAAAUUUCUCUAGCAAGGAUAUUUUUUGUGUGCUUCUAUUGCCUCUCCAGAAUGUCAAACAACAUCAGCUGUGAUUGAAAAGUUUUGUGACUGUAGCCCUUAACUUUCAUGUAGAUUUUUUGCUUGACAAUAUAUGUGAAGGUGUUAGGAGGGAUAAGUAGCGGUUUAGGUGUGGACUUUAAACAAUGUAAAUAGUUCUUCUUGCGUUGAUUGAUUAUUGUGAUUAGUUAUUAGAUUUGAUAAUUUGUAGACUCGAUUGCCUUGGUUCCAAUUCCUCCUCUGUUGCCGCAUCCAUGACAAGGUUAGUGCAGUGCAUGAUAACAACUAGCAUGAAUAUGUGCCUUUGUAAUUUAUUUUAGUGUCACAAUGCGUUGCUUCCUUUCAGAAAAGUAAACGUUUGUGCAACCAUUAUUGCAUUUUGUUGGAUUUCAUUAAUAACAAUCCCUGAUUACAUAUUUUCCUCUGCAUUCAGAACAGAUGUGUGCCUUCUCGAUGAGACAGAAGUAUCCCAGAUGUUUCUAUAGGGGCUUAAUUCAGCAUUCACACUGAAGUCUGAGUUUUUAACUGUUUUCAUAUCUCAGAUCUUAGACUUCUUGAUUUAACUGACAGUAAAGUUUCAUGGUGGCAAGUAACACAAUGUGUUAGCCUGCCCCAAUCCUCCACUGGAUUUGCCUGAUGGAUUUGAGUCCUCAAGAGUUGGUAUUUCUGUGUUCCCUGAAUUUCUGUGUUCCCUGAAUUGCUGAUACAAUUUUACAUUUUUUUCACCUAUAACUCUGCAUGAAUCAACUGAAAUGCUAUCCGGUGAACAAGACAAAAUAACCUAAUGGAUUUUAAUACUUCUAUUCUCUUUCUUGUUUGCCAGCAUGUCAGAAGUCUGAACCGUUCUAAAAUUACAAUUAUAAUGAAUUGAGUUGUUUCUUUGCACUAGCUCAGAAGUAUACAAUAGAUUGGUUAUUGACCUAGACACGAGCACACAAUAUUUUGAUCGAAGAAAAUAGUACUAUUUGUCAGCACAUAUUUAUUCUUUAAUCAAUGGUUAUCACUUUAAUUGGACCAAUGCUAGCUUACAACAACAAUAGGUGUAUACCCUGUCUUCAGUAGAGUGUAUAUCAUACUGUUAUAUGAUUUGCUCAAUUUAUUUUGUGCGAUAUUUUAGUGAUUGUUACCAUGUUUUUUAGCUUGAUGCUUGUAUUUAUAAUUUUUUAUGAUUAGUAAUUACAUGCUCACUACAAGAUCAUUAGCAUUCAUUAUAUUGGCAAAAUUAGCUACCCAGCCUAUCUCUACAACUAAAAAGACCCGAAGGUCAUCGUCUCCAGCGGUUAUCGCCCCCCCUCCCGUGGUUUCGCCCCCCCACUCCCGUGGUUUCGCCUCCGACCGUCCCCCCUCGGUCGCCCCCACCUCCCCCUCAAACGCGCUCCAUCAGCGUCGGUAAACGCAAUCCCCUUUGACGCCAAACGCAAUCCGCGAAGCCGCCGCCGAGCACGCCCGCCGCACUUCCCCUCGGACUCCCCGUAGCUGCCGCCGAGCACGCCCGCCGCCAGCCCUCUUCGCCAGACGUCCUCUCUCUCCAGGUUCUCCUCCACCCACUCCGAGCACGCCCGCCGCCACGCCCACCACCAGCCCCGUCCCCGUCCCUCCAAGCACGCCCGCGCGCGGCGCUCCUCUCACCCUCGCUCGUCCCCAAUCACGCGCCACCAAGCCGAGAAGGAGAAGGACCACACCUGGCGCCAUCGAGGUAGAGACGACGAGGAUCGUCGAGCUGCUGCCUCGGAGGGAGAGACAACGGCGAGAGGCCGUCACAACCCGCUGCCGAGGGAGAGGCGAGGUCCCAGCCCCGGUGGCUCCCGAGUUGACCGCCCCAUCAUUGGAGGCCGGAGACGGGCGUCCUAGACCGUUGUGGCCCCAGCGCCUGGUGAGUUUCCCUCUGGUUCUCCCCUCCAUUCUCUUCCUCUUAGCAAGAUCUUGUCAGGACACACCAUUGCCUAGGAAGCCUCCCUGUACAACAUUCCGAGUUCAGAGUUUAAGGAGUUCAGAGUUUAAGGUAAUUGACAUUCAGAGGUUCUGUGAUUUGUUUAUGUCGUUCUGCUGUUGAUUAAAAAAAACUAUCUAACGAUAAAAAAAAUUCACUACAAUUUCCCACCAAAAUCAUCAGCAGGGGUGAGUAUGAGGAUUGGGGAAAAAUUAUUUUCAUUGCUUAUUUUUUUCUACAAGUGACGAUAUUAACUUCUGGCUAUUUUUUCUUGAUGAAGUGGCGUUUAUUUUUUGCUAUCAGUGAUGAUAUUACUCUAUCCAUGUUUCACUUAGUUUAGGGGAUUACUAGCUUCACCAUAAUAAAAGGUGUUUUUCAAUCAUUCUAUAGAUUGUGAAUUCCGUUGUCUGAAACUCUGAGCCAAUGCUCUACCUGCUACAAAACACCUGUAUGGACCAUAUACAUGUGAUUUUCGAUCCAGUGCUGCUUUGCUAGAAUGAUUGCAUUGAUGUUUUUUACUGAGUGACCUACACAAAUUCUUUCAACUAAAAAGAAUUUGUUCAGCCUAUGAUAUUUUCUUUCUUGCAUUAUUAUAAAUAAAUGUGCAUCUUUGGUAGAGAAUGGAAAUCAUGUCAGCAGUGAUUGUGCUUCACCGUAAUAGAAGGGUUCUUUCAAUCCUUAUGUGGAUAGUUUUUUGGGUUUAUUUCAAGGUGCAAUUUCCUGGCAAUACGUAUGCACAGGUUUUGGCUCCUGGCAACUUUGCUUCUUUGAUGAGAAGCUCCUUCCCAUGUCUCUCUUCAUUUUCCUAUCUACACUUUCCAAUGUCUAGGCAUUAACUCAUACUUCUCACUCUUUUAGUAGAAUUGUGACUGGGCAUUACCUACAUGAGAGACUAGGCAGAAACUCUGAAACAUAGUGAAACUUUUAGUAGUCACUUGGUAAGUCAUGAUAAUUUUUUAUAGCUUGGCCCUGCAGUUGCAGACACUUCACUAUUCUCCUUAAGUAGCUUGGCAUAUAUUGAGAUUUGGAAGAUAUGAGAUAAUUGAUGCCUUGAAAUGUUCCAUGAUUUAGUUAUUUUUAUCUCUUCAAUUUAUUUAGGUGCUUAUUCAGUCUAUUUUAUAUCCAUGUUGGUAUAUAAUGGAUAGCCAAAUUUAAGAUUCCCUGUUGCAGACACUUUACUAUCCUGACUAGCUUGAAUCCCUCUUGAAUAGCACCAAUCUCGCCUAUUCAGGUAACUUGCUUGCUCACCUCCUAUUUGAUAAUAUACCAACGUGUGUUAUGUGCUUGUGUUUUAGGCAAAGGCAAAAAUCGGGUGACAUCAGUUUAGAUGUUAAUAAGAGCACGUAUAUGGUUAAAAUAAAUUAAGUGUAUCCUAAAGUUCCUAAACUUGUAGGAACAAUUGACGGACUUUCUGUUUUUUGAAUGACACAUCUAGGUUUUCAAAAUUCACUGCCUUAAGUCAAUUUCAAAUGUUUAGGGUUUAGGGUUUAGGGUUUUAGGGUUUAGGGUUUAGGGUUUAGGCCAUCAAACACAGUUCUCCGUCUCUACAUCCCCUUCCUCCAGUCCAGGUAUUUCACAGUGACAUUGCACGAUCUCUCUUGAUACUAUUAUUUUACAAAGAGUUGUGGUUGGAUGGAUAAUGGAAAAUACUGUGUACGCAAUUAUCAGUGUCCUGAUUUGUAUAUUUCUUUUUCCCUUCAUCCAAAUUGUUGCUUUGGCAUUAGAUUUUGAGAAUAAGUACCUGAAUGCUUAAGUAACUCUAGAGUGAUUGUUUGAUGGCAGAAUAUAACAUUUAGUUAGUCGUACCCAUUCUUAAUAAGUUGGGUGGCACUUCCCUGUAAAAAUUGUUAAUCAGCAACCAAACCUACCCAUUCUAAAUGCCAUAGACCAUAUUCAGAGAGAGAGAGAGAGAGAGUGAGGUGCACAGAUAACAAUAGUUAGUGCAUGCUUUUACAAUCCAAAGCUAAAAUAUACAUCUUUUUGCUUCCUUGCUGACAUGAAGCAAAAGUGUGAAUCUCUAACAAAUCUUCAAACAAGCAAGCAUAGAAACACAUUUAAAAAUUAUCAAUUCUGACCCAAGCAGGGGCGGGGGUGCCGAUGCAAGCGACGAACUCGAUCCCGCUCUCCUUCGGCUGGGGCGGGCCACCUAUGGAUGAUGGGCAUGUCCACUAAACCAUUGACUCUGCUUCAUGUCCUCCUCGCCGUCGACUGUGCUUUGGAAGUUUGGAUGGGGUGGGGGUGGCGUCUGCAUGGUAGUGGCAAGGAGGUGGCAGGCUGUCAGUGCUGGCAUAUCAGGGCGACCUCCUGGGGCAGCCCGGUGCAGCCGUGCAGGGGCAUGGCGGGACGACGUUACGGUGGGCUAGCAACCUCUAUUGGGUAGCGGCAGUGUCAGCGGUGGGUAGCGGCGGUGUCAGACGAUAACAUCCCAGUCUUUUUAGGUGUAGAGAUUUAAAGGUGCAAAUUAGUGGCAAUUUGUAUGCAUAGGUUUCAACUCCUGGCAACUUUGUUUAGUCAAAGAGAAUCACCGUUUCAUGUCUCUCUUCAAUUUUCCUGUCUACGCUCUUACUUCUCACUCUUUUAGUACAAUUCUGACUGGGCAUUACCUGCAUGAGUGACUAGGCAGAAACUCUGAAACAUAGUGAAACUUUCAGUAGUCGCAUGGUAGGUCAUGAUAUUUUUCUGCUAAUUAGUUCCUCACUAUUCUGUACUUUUGUUCAGAUAUUGGAUCGUGGUGGGAAGAUUGAACUUUUGGUGGGUAAGACAGAGACCUUACAGUCGCAGGUAUUUAUUCAGUGUCCGUUGUCUGUAUGAUGAUAUGAUGAUGUAUUGAAAUCCUGUUAUAGAAACAACAUUCAACUUUGUCUCAGAAAUUUAUACAAAUGUGGCUCUUUAGAAAUCCUGUUAUAAAAUCAGAAUUCAACUUAUAGCAAUGUCCAGUAUGGCAUAUAUGAAAUGAACUCAGUUCUCAGUUAUAUAAAAUUGCAAGUCGAGUGACUUUGUGACCUGCAGUUCUGUGUGCUUUGAUUGAUUUUCCAUGUGCUGAAAAAUCCCUGCAGUUCUAAGUGCUCUGAUUUGUAUAUUUCUUUUUCCCUUCAUCCAAAUUGCUGCUUUGGCUAGAUUUUGAGAAUAAGUAAUUUGGAUAAAAAUAGUACCUGAAUGCUUAAGUAACUCUAGAGUGAUUGUUUGAUGGCAGAAUAUAACAUUUAGUUAGUCGUACCUAUUCUUAAUAAGUUGGGUGGCACUUCCCUAAAAAAAUUGUUAAUCAGCAACUAAACCUACCCAUUCUGAAUGCCAUAGACCAUAUUCAUAGAGAGAGAGUGAGGUGCACAGAUAACAAUAGUUAGAGCAUGCUUUACAUCUUUUAGCAAAUCCUUGCAAGAUGAGUGACUUUGUGACCUGCAGUUCUGUGUGCUUUGAUUGAUUUCCAUGUGCUGAAAAAUCCCUGCAGUUCUAAGUGCUCUGAUUUGUAUAUUUCUUUUUCCCUUCAUCCAAAUUGUUGCUUUGGCAUUAGAUUUUGAAAAUAAGUAAUUUGGAUAAAAAUAGUACCUGAAUGCUUAAGUAACUCUAGAGUGAUUGUUUAAUGGCAAAAUAUAACUUGAAGCUCAUAUGGGUGUGGUCUGAUGGUCUCUAUGUUUUUUAAAGAACAGGUAGACUAUAGGGAUUGUGGGUUAUUUCAAUGGAAAAUAGGGGCUCUCCUGCACCAUUGGGUGACAAGACUAACUCUAUUAAUGAAGGUAACCAUAACCAAAAUAGAAGGGCAAUUAUUGUAUUUAAUUCAACAGACUGUUUAUAUUAUAGUAUAAAUGAUAACCUAUACUAUAUAUGGAUGUAAAUAUUGCAGGAAGUGAUGUUGUACAGCGUAGGCGAGAAAGAGAUAAGGCUCGAUGGCAUGCAAUGUCUCAAGAGAAAAAGGAUGAAAAAAAUAAAAACGUCGAGAAGCAUAUAAAAGAAAAAAGGAGCAACAACUGUGUAUUGAAACAGUCAAUGGUUGUAUAGUAGAAAUAUUGGUGAAUAAAAAUAUAGAUAUUACUAUUCAUGUUUCUCAUAUGUGCUAUGUCUCAAUUGGUAGAUGGACAGGAUGUAUCAAACAAGGAAAAUAUGGAUCCUAAUGAAACAAAUGACUGGUUACAUAGGAAUGAUUUACUCUAUGCAAACAAUAGAGGUGAUAUAUCUAAUCGGCUCGCAGGUAAUUUAACUGUUGUUAAUCUGACAUCAAUGGCUACAAUUAGAGGAUCAUUGAUGGAUAAUCUGUUGUAAUUACUGCUCAAUUUAUGUAGGUGAGGAGGAUGAAGUAAUUACUGCUCGUAGUAUACUUAAUCAAGAAAUGCUGUCACAAUUGACUGAUGCUUCACGUAAUAGAGAGUUAAUAAACGAGCAAGUAAUAGUCGAUCGUGUAAGAUCAAAAAUGACAUACGCAAACAUGACACCUGAGCAACGGGACCAAAGAGUAAGCGACAAAGGCUUUACAAUCAAGUUCAAUCCCGUAAAGAGGCAAUGAAAGCUGCUAAAAAACGAUCAAGGGAAGUAUGGAGACACACUUUGAAUAGUGAGUCCAUCGCAAUGGAGAAUCCACUCUUUAGUCCAACGGUGGAGUGGCCCAAUACAAACUCAUCUAUGUCAUCUCAUGGACCCACAGUAAGCCCUAGCGAUUGGGCUAUCCCAGAAUCCACUGCAACGCCUAUUUGCUUCCCACAAGCUCCUGAGGAGACAAAUGAAGAUGAUGAUGGAUGCACUGAUAUAUCACCUGGUCAUAUGACACAUAGACAAAAUAUACCAUCUGGGCAAAGGCAUGCAUUGUUAACCCGUCGUAACAAUGUGUUUGAGCGCCUCAUCGGUCGGAACACGGGAAAAUCUAAUAAAGGUGAAGACCACGCGGAAGAUAAUACGCCCUUACCCGAAGCAACCGUGACCAACAACGGUAAACAAUGAGGCCUUUGCAUCCACGUUCAUUCACAUAAAACAAACUUUAUUCCUAUCUUAACCAUGUCCAUUAUGUGAUUGACAGGAAACACUAGACUAGACAAUCAAAAUGUAUCAACUACAUCUGAACAACCAUUUUUUGAUGAUACAGGUAAUUUGCACUACUUUGAACAUUGUAUACAAUAUUUGUGUUUCUUGUUUGUUACCUAAGUAGUAAUGUCUCAUGACAUUGUGAUGAUCACAGAUGAUGAUGAGGGUGAUAUAUUUGAAGACGAUGAGGGAUACUUGUUUGCUGGUCAAGGUAUUUGUACCAAAUACCAAUUACCUUCCUAAACAUCCACUCUUUUUAUCUGACUUUCACUUUUAUGUUCAAAUCAUUUCGCCAGAGGAAUCAGAUGAUGAUGUCCAAAGUGAUACUACCGUGGAAGACAUGACUUCUAACCUUGAAGGACCUGACCCGUAUGAAGUGGUGUAUAGUAAUAUGCCUAGAGAGACACACAAGCUAAAAUCUAUCCCAAAUUGCCAUCAUUGUGGAGCAAAGAGGUUUCCAAAAGAACCUCCUGGGUUUUGUUGUCGCAGCGGAAAGGUUGAGCUGAAUGCGCCCGUCAUACCAAACCAACUCAUGAGGCUUUGGUCAAGCUCUGACCCGGAUGCUAGGCACUUUCGUAACAAUAUCAGGUUUUUCAAUGGCCACUUCUCUUUCACUUCCCUAUAUUGUCGCCUCGACUGUGCUACUGCUAAUAUUAGAAACAGCGGCAUAUAUACUUUUCGUGCACAUGGCAUGAUCUAUCACAACAUAAGGUCAUUUGGGAGAGAGGAUGGUAAGGAGCCUAGACAUCUUGAACUUUACUUCUAUGAUGACGAUCCGAGCCUUGAGUACCGGUACCGAAGGUGUCGUGAAGAGCAGUAUCAAAAAGAUAAAGAAGUUAUAGACAGACUGAUGGCCAUCCUUCAUGAUAACCCAUAUUCACAACAUUUGAGGAGUCUGGGGCACGCAGAACAUCUCGAGGACUAUCGUCUUACACUUAACCUUGAUCAGCGAUUGGACCAAAGGACAUACAAUGUGCCGAUGGCUUCAGAGGUGGCUGCUGUUUGGAUCGAAGGUAGUGAACUCCUUGGUCAAUUUCAGAAUAGUGUUGUCCUACAUGGGAAAGAUAGAAGCAGGUAUGGUAUCCGAUCAUACCAUGGAUGCUAUGAUGCUCUUUCAUACCCACUCUUCUUCCCUAGAGGUGAGCUUGGAUGGCAUAUGGAUAUCCCAAAGAAAGGUGUUACCAUGGAGGAUGUCAACACGGCUCGUGCCCUACGUAAGGCUCGUAGUGGUACUGAAGAAGAAGAAAUAGGUUUGUUUAUCUCCUUGUACUUUUCAUGCAUAUCAAACCUUUGUCACAUGAACACUUCUAAUAUCAUAGUUUUGACAGACUCUCCGGGAAAUUUAUGUGUUUCUGUGCGUGAUUACUACUGCUACAAGUUCCAGAUACGGCCAGGAAUAUUUAAUCCCAUACUUUAUGGCAAGCGUCUUUUCCAACAAUUUGCAGUGAACACGUACAUCAAAAUCGAGAGUUCUCGAUUGGAUUACAUACGCAAUCAUCAGACGGAGAUUAGGGCCGAUCUCUACCAAGAAUUGGUUGAUAGCCUGCAUGCUGGUGUGGGUAGAUCAGAAGCUGUUGGAAAGCGGACGGUGAUGCCUUCAUCAUUUAUCGGAGGCCCGAGGGACAUGAGGCGUAGAUACAUGGAUGCCAUGGCACUAAUGCGAAGGUUUGGGAAACCAGACAUCUUCCUGACUAUGACAUGCAAUCCAAAGUGGGAUGAGAUCACACGUGAGUUGUAUCCUGGACAAACACCACAAGAUCGUCCAAACCUUAUUGAUCGGGUCUUUAGGGCAAAACUGGAAGAGCUUAAGCAUAGGUUGUUGAAAAAGGAUAUCCUUGGAAAGGUUCGUGCACACGUGUAUGUUGUGGAGUUCCAAAAAAGGGGUCUACCGCAUGCCCACUUUUUGCUAAUCAUGGACAGACGCUACAAGAUCACGUGCCCAGAGCAGUAUGACCUUCUCAUCUCUGCCGAGCUCCCAAACAAGAAGAAGUAUCCAGACUUGUAUAAAAUGGUUACAAAGCAUAUGAUGCAUGGACCUUGUGGCGUACUUAAUCGCAAUUGCCCGUGCACAAAGGGUCGUGAAUCAUGCAAGAACCGUUACCCACGACCUUUCUGUGAUGCCACAUUACAGGGCAAAGAUUCAUAUCCAGUUUAUAGACGUCGUGACAAUGGUAGAAAAGAAAAAGUUCGCGGGCAUGAGCUUGACAAUAGAUGGGUCGUGCCUUACAACCCAUACCUCCUACGUUUGUUCAAUUGCCAUAUCAAUGUUGAGGCGUGUGGGAGCAUCAAGGCCGUGAAGUAUUUGUUCAAGUACAUUUACAAGGGUCAUGAUCGCGCGUCUGUGGCUGUGAGAGAGGCUGAAAAGGAGGACAAUGAAGGAAACAUCGAUGAGAUCAAACAGUACAGGGAUGCUAGAUGGGUAACUCCACCAGAAGCCUUGUGGAGGAUAUAUGGUUUUGAUAUAAGUGAUAGGUCCCCUUCAGUGUUGUCCUUGCAGCUCCAUCUUCCUAACAUGCACAUGGUGUCAUUUCACCAGCGCGAGGGUGUUCGACGUGUACUUAAUCGUCCAGGUGUUGAAAGGUCGAUGCUUACAGCCUACUUUGAGAAGAAUAUCACAUCUGAACAUGCUCGUGGUAUAUUGUAUCGGGAUUUUCCUGAGUACUAUAAGUGGGACUCUCAAGGAAAACAAUGGAUUAGGAGGGCACGAAAGAAUCAUUUAAGACAAAUUGGAAGAGUUGUAUGUGCCAAUCCAGCUGAAGGGGAGCGUUACUAUCUUAGGGUGCUUCUGAACCAUGUGGUUGGUGCUACCUCAUUCAUUGAUCUAAGGACAGUGUCUGGUGAACUACUACCGACUUUCUGUGAAGCUGCAGAAAGAAGGGGCCUCAUCGAAGCGGACAACACACUUCACGAGGGUCUUGCUGAGGCAACUCUAUGGAUGAUGCCAUAUGCACUAAGAAGGCUCUUUGCAACAAUCUUAGUUUUCUGUGAGCCGAGUGAUGUAUUAGAACUCUAGGAAAAGCAUAAGGAAGCAAUGUCAGAGGACUACAAGCGCAAUAACCAAUCCAACUUUGCAGUGGAGCAGAUGGUCCUCAUAGAUAUUCGGAAGUUGUUAGAAUCAAUGCAGAAGGACAUAAAGAUGUACCCACUUCCUGAUAUCGAUGACACAUAUGAUCCAUCUGGCAAUAUUCCCAGGGAGAUCUUUGAGGAGGCUAGCGUUGAGGCAAGUAUUGAUGACAUGGCACUAUCAAAGACACUUAACGAGGAGCAGCAAGCUACCUACAAUGAGAUUAUGUCUGCUAUUGAUAGUAAUCAUGGGGGUUUGUUCUUUGUGGAUGGACCUGGUGGCACCGGGAAGACUUAUCUAUACAGGGCCCUACUUGCUACUAUUCGCAGUCAGAAUAAGAUUGCUGUGGCAACAACAACAUCUAGUGUUGCUACAUCAAUAAUGCCUGGUGGUAGAACCGCCCACUCGCACUUCAAGAUUCCCCUCACCCUUGAUGAUGGGGCCUUUUGCACCUUCACAAAACAUAGUGGUACCGCCAAGCUCCUUCAGAACACAUCCCUUAUUAUUUGGGAUGAGGUGACGAUGAUGAAGAGGCAUGGUGUUGAGGCGCUAGAUAACAGCCUCCGUGAUGUCAUGGAACGUCCUAACCUGCCAUUUGGGGGGAAGACUGUAGUGUUUGGUGGAGAUUUUAGGCAGGUUCUCCCAGUUGUUCGAAGAGGUUCUAGGGCACAGAUAGUUGGUGCCUCAUUACGUAUGUCGUACAUUUGGAAUUCCAUGCGACAUCUCAAAUUGGUGCGAAACAUGAGGGUAAAGAGCGAUCCAUGUUUUGCAGAAUACUUGCUACGCAUCGGGGGAGGAUCUGAGGAGACUAAUUGUAAUGGUGAAGUCCACCUUCCUGAUGAUAUAUGCAUUCCACAGACUGAGAAAGACAGUGACCUUGAUACGUUAAUUGACUGCAUAUUUCCUGCCCUCAAUGCCAAUAUGUCAAACAAGAGCUACAUCACCUCACGAGCAAUAUUAUCUUCGCGAAACGACUAGGUUGAUAUGAUUAACAUGAAGAUGAUAAGUCGUUUGCAAGGGAAUGAGAUGGUGUACCAUAGCUUUGACAGUGCAGUGGAUGAUCCACACAACUACUACCCAUCUGAGUUCCUCAACACUUUGACCCCCAAUGGUCUCCCUCCACAUGUGUUAAAGCUCAAGAUUGGGUGCCCGGUCAUAUUGCUAAGGAACAUCGACCCUGCGGGUGGACUUUGCAAUGGAACUAGGCUGGUGGUUCGAGGGUUCCAAAGAAACAUUGUCGAUGCAGAAAUUAUGGUUGGAGACCAUGCCGGAAAGCGAAUCUUCCUACCAUGGAUUCCGUUAUGUCCCUCGGAUGAUGAGAUGUUCCCAUUUCAGUUUAAGAGAAAGCAGUUUCCUAUUAGACUCAGUUUUGCCAUGACGAUUAACAAAGCACAAGGGCAGACUCUCCCCAAUGUUGGUGUGUAUUUGCCUGAACCAGUGUUCUCUCAUGGUCAGUUGUAUGUUGCGCUAUCUAGAUCCACUGCCAGAUCGAAUAUUAGGAUCCUUGCUGUCCCACCCAGUGAUAAGAAUGAUAAGAAACAAAAAAAUAAUGGUACAUUCACAAAAAAUAUUGUCUACAAAGAGGUCCUCACUCCAUGAUAAGGUAGUUUUCUAUUUUGCACAACUAUUGUAUUCUUAUAUUUGUGUCCUUAAUUAGUGACAUUUUUUGUAUCAUUAUAAAUUUCAGUUAAUAAAGGAAGUCCGAAAGAAAUGAGAGAUAAGUAGUUAUGAGUUCUUGAUAUGUUACUGACUAUAUAUAGAAAAUAUAUAUAUUUCAAACCAGAACUAUGACAUACUCCCGUCGCCACCAAAAUGUGUCAUUUUAUUUUUAGACAUCUUGUUUGACUCUUUCUCUUAUUCAAAAAUUUUAUAUAAAUAUUAUUUAUUUUGCUAUGACUUAUUUUAUGAUUAGAUACACUUUAAUAAUAACUUAUUUAUUUAUUUAUUUAUUUAUUUAUUUAUUAUGUGCACAAAGAAAACUAAAUAAGAUAAUAGUCAAAUAUAAUAUCUGAAAGUCAAAAGUGUCACCUAUUUUAGAAGGGAGAUGUAUGCGUUGUUAAAUUGAAAGAUAAGAUGAGACACUUUUCUAUGCACUUUUUUAGUAGUACAAAAUGUUUAAAAUUGAGUUAUCAUGAUAUAUAUUUUUUCCGUAGCAACGCACGGGCACUCAACUAGUAACUCUAUAACUCUGUACAUCAUCUAUACCAUUUCAGUGGCCUUGUCACCACUGAUUUUGGACUUGCCGAAAAGCUAAUUUUCUAGAUAGCUUGUAAGAUGUUUCUUUUCAAGUUUGGAUAAGAUUAAACUUUGUUUAGUGGUCUUGCCGAGUUUUGAAGCAGGAACACAAAGAUGCGGUAAAGACUUCCUGUUGUCGUCAAGCAACUCCUCUGCACAGCCGCCGUUGAGGAGUUUAGGAGUAUAAAUUGAUGUUAACUUCACGUUAUUUAGAGAUUCUACGAGUUUUUGUUUUGGACCAAGUUUAGGACAAACUCUUUUGAAGUUCAUUAUGGUUCUUACCCCAAAAUGAUCUCUGUGAUUGUACAAUGACCCUUUAUAGUGCUGCCUAAUGUAAGAGUUUUCAAAUAUACCCGAUGACAUUGAUGAUUUAAUUUUCUUUUAUUGUGCAAGAAUAUUAGGACCCAUUUGGAUCCUUGGAAUCAAAUUCAUUAUAAUAAUUACAAUUUAGUCAUGUAUUAAUUAAGCUAAUAUGGUUGCAUAUGAAAUAUAUUUGCAUAUUAUUGUUAGCCAUACAAGGGUCAUACUUGUUAUAUUGCAUUUCUGUUGCAGAAAAAUGAGUUAAAGAGGAGUGUGCUAUAAGUUGAAGGGUAUAAAUAUAGUUGCUGAUAUAUAGAAUCUAUUUCCAUCUCCACCCUAUGAAUUUGAGAUAGAUUUAUUUGUGAGCCUGAAAAAAUUGUAGAAUGUCAAAUUUUAGGCAAAAUAGCCUGACCCAUUAAUUGGAUUCUAAUUCCUCUAAAAUAAAGGGAUCUAAAUGGUCCCUUACUAUGUUACAUGCAAUUUUCUUAAUUUUAUUUUUUAUGAAAAAAGAAAAUUAUUUUUAUAAAUUUAACUAAAUACUUUAGUAUCUAAUUUAAUCCGGUCAAGAUAGGGCGCCCAAUGUUCUAGUAGUUAUUUAGUACCAGAGGCCUUCCCACGACCGCAGACGACGCGCGCUCGCCCACCUAGUCGCAACGCUCGUUAGUUUUUUUUUUGUUUCUGUUGCCUACUCGCGCCUAUGUGUUUCCGGCCGAUUUUUUCUCCUUCAGUACGCAUUGCUUGGUCAUCUUUUCUAGGCCAAGGUUGCAUAUAUUUUGCCCUUUUUUAUUUCUACAUAUUUUUUUCUUUCUACACCAAGUUUCUUGUGAUGAAUUACUUGUAAAUAAUAGUUUAUUAUGUAUACUAUAGAUAUUAUUUUAGUUAGAUCAUUAAAAAUAUAUCUUGCAUGACAAUCGUUACACAAAUAAAUUUAUAGUUAUUAUCAAAUAGAAGGGAGAAUUGGCGGUAGGACAUGCAGAAUGGUGACCAUUUGCCAGCGGACACUAGGAAAAAAUAGAUUGCUCAAAGACACUCUGUUUCUUAUCAAAUUUGCGGGCAGACAUUACGUCUAAUCAAAUAUUAUUAUAAAAUAGAUAUAAAAUCAUAUAAGUGCUAAAAAAUUAUACUAUAAAUUUUUUACACUCUACAUGAUGAGAACUGUAGUGCAAAAAUAUUGUUUUGCACUGAAAUGACCAUUUUGCCCCUCUUCAUAAAUAGACAAAGAUAACCAUGGUUAAUUAGUUAAAAAUAUUAGUAAGAUACUAAAAAUACUAAAUAAUAUUUUUACACUAUAGUUCUCAUCAUGUAGAGUGUAAAAAAAUUAUACUAUAAUUUUCUAGCACUUAUAUGAUUUUAUAUCUAUUUUGUAAUAAUGUUUGAUUAAACAUAGUGUCCACCAGCAAAUUUGACAAGAAGCGAAGUGUCCUUGAGCAUAAAUACUUGUGCAACAUAUACUAUAGAAAAUUAUUGUGGUUGAAACAUUAAAUUUGGUGUAGAAUUUUUUUAUUUUGAACAAUAUUUUGUUUGAACAAUGAGAUGCUGUGGUUGAAACUCAUCACUACCAAAAAUAUUAGUGUCCCAAAAAUAGGUUUAUAUGGUUUCACUUGUAAAAAGGCCUCUGGUUCUAAAAUAGGCUCAUGGUGCUGACCGAGACAGCAACUAUUUAAUCCACUUAGACUGCAUAUGCCAUAUUUUUCGUUGUUAAUAAUAAAGACAAAAUUAACAGAAAUAUACAUAUUGGAUUUACAGGGUUUGAUCUAUCAAACUAGUUUGAGUGCUGGUACCUGUUUGUGUUUUGCAAGACUACUAAUUGUUUAGCGCAGCUUGGAGACUCCAGCUGAUUACUGCAAGAUCAAAAUAUGGAUUGUAUUCAGUCAACAAAGAUUUUGCUAAUUGCAAUAAAAUAGCUGAUCUUACACUGAAUUGAAAAUAGUGACAUAAAAAUCAAGAACAUGACAGAGAGAAUGCUUAAACUUACCUGGACAAGAAAAAAGUUAUUCACAAUAUAGUAGCUGACAAAAAAAAAUAAUACAGAACAUCUUGACUGCACAGAUAAGCUCCUAAUGUCUUCAGAAUUUACUUUUUGGUUCAAAGAAUUAUGUAUUUAAACUAUAUAUCUUUGUAUAAAAUCUGUAUGUGACAAUUUAGUAUGAUUUCCUCACAUAUAUAGUGCAACAACAAAAAAUCGCUUGCAAAAAGAGAGAGCAGCAGGGUGGGAGGGGGAGAUCGAGCUAGCAGACCUAGUAAGAAAGCCAAAAAACGUAGUGUCGUUGCUGCCGCGGAUGACGCUGACCGCCAGUGUGACCGUCUCCAAACUAGUCUCGGCAUGAGGAAGAUGAUGCGUGGUAGCUGGUCGCCCACGACCGAUGCCAGCAGCCACGACACGCGCUACGGCGGGCGGCGGCGCGAUUCCCUGAUGCGGCGCUGGAGGGGUGGGGAGUGGCGUCGAUGGGAUGGGGGCGGCGCCGACGGGGUGAGAGGCAACGGUCGAAGGCUGCUGAGGCAUCGGGGGCCGCAGAACCCACCUCGGAGGCUGCGAAGGAGAUGGAGAGAGGGGCGAGCUAGGCUCGUGCUGUGGACGUACGUGGUGGCGAUCUGGGCUCAUACGGCGCCGCGGAGGGAGCGACGGGCGAAACCGGCGGAGGGAGCGACGUCGGACGGUCGGAGAAACCGGCGUCUCCUCGACUCCCCACAUCUGGAAUUUAGAUCGGCAGAAAAAAAUACUAGAUACGAUAAAAGGCCUAGGUGGGCUGAAACGUCCAUGGUUGGCUCGGGUCCUGAAGUUGGGCUCGGGUACUGUUUAUUAUUCAGUACCCUAGGAUAUAUAUAUAUAUAUAUAUAUAUAUAUAUAUAUAUAUAUAUAUAUAUAUAUAUAUAUUUUUGACCACAUCUAAUUAUCGGGCUAUAAGCUAUGGUGAAGGAGGCCCACGAGGGCUGAUUGAACCAACCAAGUUGAAGAUCAAGCCACGCUAAGGAUAUCUAGAGCCGACGUAUCUGGACGAUAGAAUAUGAUCAAUCUGUUCUAUAUUUUAUAUAACAAACUAAAAAACCAAUAUGUCAAGCGAUCAUCCUCGUUGUACGUAACCCUACCCCGUCUCACUAUAUAAAGGAGGGUAUGGACCCCACAAUCAGGAUCCAUCUCAUCUACCAUGUAGAUUAGAGCAACAACCACUGUAACCGAGCAUACAAAUACAAGAAGAGCAGUAGCACCAAAUGGACUAGGGUUUUACGUAACACCGUGGCCUGAACCAGUAUAAAUCUUGUGUCUCAUGUACUACCAUCUGAUUUCUCCUAUGCGAACUCAUUGCUAGACACUGCCGGAGCUAAGUCACCCGACAAGAACAUGUUACAUAUUAUAUUUUUUCAUGUUUUUAUGUUCCCUCGGGUUAGGGUGAGGAGGUAAGCCGAUGAAGUGUGAACGUAAGGUACUCCAUGCUUUUUAGAGAAGAGAUAACCUUCACCUCUUAUUGCGUAUCAUUAUGCGGUUGUGGGUUGCAUAUCUUCUAGAACCCUUUGUAUCAUCAUGUUUAUGAAGAUGUAUAUCCUUUAUCUUGGGUUUUUUGAUGGGCGCCAUUGUAAUUUUUCAACUUAUGACAUACAUCACUACAAUUUGUCUAUUAGGAACCAAGCCAUUAUAAUUCUCUGGUUGCUGAAAUAUGCCAUUUUAUAUGCUUUUUGAGAACCUAGACCCACCUGCAAUCAAUGGUAUUCUUGUAUUGCCUAAAACACACCUUUACCUUUCUCAAUUUAUAUGUGACUAACAUUUGGGUCUCACACAUCAUCUUCUUCCUCCAAGUGCAGUACAUCUCGCCGCAUAAGCACCUCUCUUCCCCGUCGCCCUCCCCCAUCGUCGCCAUGCUCUUUGUGCCGGUCAUUGACUUCUAGUCCUCCACCGCGUAAUGCCAUCCUCACCACAUGUGAGGGCUGGUGCGGAGCUCCUCACUACAUGCACAAGCAUGAGCGCCUGCAGUGGGUGGCCGACCUCACGAGUAGGAGUAGUGACGUCGGUAGUGAGGCUCGAGGUUGGGUGGACUAGAUUCCCAAAAGCGACUGACGCAUGAGGAAGGCGAGCUGCGGCCAUGGCAUCGAGGUGGUAUGCUGAGCUCGCAAGCACAAGCGCAAGUGACUGUAGUGCAUGGCCUAGCUCACGAGUAGGAGAGGCAACACUAGUGGUGAGGCAUGAGUGGCUUAUGGGACUGACUGGUAACACGGUGGUGCGUGACGUCAACGGCCGGAAUCGUGGGGUCACGCUGCGAUGGUGCGAGCUUGUGGCCAAGGGACUUUGGCGUGGCUGGCACGAGCAUGAGCACCAUCGGGCUCUGAUGCAGGCAUAGGAUCGUCUACAACGCGGGCAUGGAGCCCAUGUGACUUCAGCUACAUGCCGAUAGGAGCCAACAAGGGGAAGAGAGGAGGAAGAAGAUGAUAGUGGAGCCCACACGUUAGUGAUUUAGUGAUGUUGGAGAAAGAGAGGGACAGGGGCAUUUUAGGCAAUAUCAAAAUAUAUUAGUCUACAGGUGGGUCCACGGUCUUGAAAAGCAUACAAAAUGGUAUAUUUCAGGCAACAAAAGAAUUAUAAUGGUAUGCUUUCAAAUAGAUGAAUUGUAGUGGUAUAUCUGAGAAGUUGAAAAAUUGUAAUGGCACCCAUCCAAAAAGCCCACUAUCCUUAUGAGGUUCUAGGAUGUAACACCAUAGUAUACCUGUCAUCUUAAAUAAGUGAUUUUUUUGGUAUUCUAGACUUUUGACUUAUAAUCUAUCAUUAUUAGUUCAAAAUGAUUUUUUUGAAGAAUAUAUUGCAUGCUAUGCUCAUUUUUCCCCAUGUUUUUAUAUUCUCCUCUAGUCUCGAUGAGGAGGCACGCGAACGAAGUCUAAACAUAAGUGCUCCACACUUUUUAGAGUAGAGAUGACCAUCUUCUCUUAUUGCAUAUCACUGUGCCGUUCUAGCUAUGUUGCAUAUCUUUUAAAACCCUUAUAUGGUCGUCUUUUAUGAAGAUGUAUAUCUUUCUGAUACAUAAUAUCUUUCUAAAGUUCUAGGAUGUGGCACCCUAGUAUAGUUGUCUUCUUAGAAACGUGUAUCUUUUUGGUACUGUAGACUUUUUUUGUACUCUAGAUUUUUGACUCAUGAUUUGGUGUUUUUAGAUAAAAAGUAGUUUUUCUGGAAGAUAACAUAUUUCUGAUCACCCUACGCUCCUAAUCUUGACCCAAAUCCAAUGGCUUGGGAAGGCCUGACUAGCAAUGGCCAUUGGCUCAAGGUGUGGAUUAGGUGGGGGUGGGUGGGAAGGCCAACGACAUGUGAAGAACAUAAGGCAAACUCAAAACAAAAAUAAAAAUAGAAAAUUAAUUGAAAGGAGGAUGACAAUUGUAGCCUAUUGAUAAGGGUGUAAAUGGUACAAAUAUUUCUCGAUCAAUACAAGGGCUUCAAUAUCCGUUUGGACCAUACCAUAUUUGUAUCUCGAUAUCCAUUCAUAUCUUAUCUGAACUAUUCCUAGUAGAAUCUGAAUCCAAGGAAUAAUGUAGCUAUACGUAUUCAUAUACGUAGGUAUCUAUCCCUAUCUAGCCCAUUUACACCCCUACCUGUUGAUAACGGUUGCUACAACAUAAAAAAUGCAUCAACAUCCCACCGCUCUUAUUUUGCCUCCAACCAAACAAAAAACUAUAAUGGAAUUAUUCCCUCAACUAAACACAGAAUGUGAUGGUUUGAUCCUAAAAUCAGGGACAGAUCCACCCCAUUCCACCACAUACUAACCAAACAUAUGCUUAAUAUGCAAUAGCAUAAAGGCCUAAAAUAUGGUUUAAAUUUUUUACUUAUGAAAAUGAGUACAUAUACACCUUAAUAUCAAGACGAGUGCAAAUUUUGAUCAAAGUAAUUCUAACAAGGUGCUAGACCAUUCAAAGGAUUCUAGCAAGACUCCUUGUAAUUUUGCUUAGUGUGGGUUUUAUUUAUGAAAAUCUAGCAAAUUGCUUGAUACAUGACUUGCUUUAGCUCCUUUGCAUGUAGCGACUGAUGAAUACAUGCAUCAAGGCUCCUAGUUUGGGUUAUGAUGAUUGAUGAACAUGGGGAUAUGUGGCCAAUGGCAGAACUAGAACUUUUUAUUAAAGGGGACUGAACAAUAUGCACCUUGUAAAUAUGAUAAAUAUAUAUACGAUAAGUGUAUGUAUUAAUAGUUUUUUAAUAUUUUUACAUAUAUAUUUAGUAUUCAUAACAAAGAAACACAAUAUUAUCGUUAAAAAUGGGUGAGAUAAUAAUUUUUUAUGCUAUGCAAUUGAUUUUUUAUAAGGUAUCAAAAAAUUUCAUUGUGUUUGGGGGGCAUGAUCCCUGCUUUCCCCUGAUUCCACCAGUGUAUGUGGCUAAAUUUAUUUUGAAGGGUUAUUGAAAAAGAGUUAGUUAUGUUGAGGCUACUUGUUUUUCUUGGUCCUUGAUGAUUGGAUUAAGUGUAUAGCCCAAGGAUAUUCGUGAAGGCUAAGGGCACAAUAGUGUUUAAGUGAUGAUUUGGUGUUGGGGGCACCUAGAAUUUUGUACUACUAUCCCCAACACCAAAUCAACACCCUCAAAACAAAUAGAGUUUAAGUCAAGGAUUUCGAACAAGUUGAAUGAGAUAGGGAUUUCAAAUGGAGCCAACUUUGAAGGUUGUAGUGCACUAGAUGAGUUGGUCAAGGCCAUCAAAUUGUAUGGUGACAUUAUGUUGUACUAUGUAUUAGGUAGUGUUGCCUGCUAGACAAUACUAUGAAGGGUCUUGUGUGGACCAGAUGAUCUAGUGUCAUCUUUGUGUCAUGCAUGAAGAGUUCAUCUUGGAUGUGCUUGUUAGAGUGUGUAUUGUGCAACAACUAGUUGAAGUCGGACAUGCUUACUGAUGUGCACUGUAUGAUCUGUUGCUUAGCUUAGUGGUUGUAGCGUAUCAUCCAAUGAUGUAUAUUAGGUAAUCUCGAGUAGUGACCACUAAAAAUACAAGAAAAGCAAGGUCACCAGAUGAUCCGGUGCCCCUCAAUGGGCCACUGCGAAUCAUCCUGUGUUGACUUUCUCAACAAACUUUUCUAGUGGCUAGGAUAUCACCUAUGUCAUCUAUAUAUGUGUUCUCUGAAUCAUUUGGAUCUCCCUUUGAAUCUAUUGAAGAUUUACACAUUAGAGGCUUGGAGAAGGGGUUGAGGGCACUCCAAGUCAACAUGAGUGCUUAAGAAUGAUCAUAGUGCACAUCUUUUUGCUCUUGGCUUGGAGGUUGAUGAACUAAAGAUCAAAAGUUGUUGCUCUUGGAGUUUUCUAGCUCUUAAACAUCAUGUACGAGGACUAAGUGACUUUCCUAGAUGAGUUGAUUAUUAGAAGUCUCCUAGAGGUGUGCUUGGUUUAAGACUCGCUAAUCUGAAGUGGUGAAUAGGUGGAUCUUUAGCCUUUGUGACUAAACCGAGCUCAGCCCUUAGUGGGUGCUCUAACAUGGACUAGGGGGCAGUAGCAAUUGCUCAACUCCACGAAAAUACGGUUGUCAGUUGUCCAACUUUUUCUUUCCACAAGCAUUAUUUCAUUGCUUAUCUUUUUGUGUGUCUUAGAGAUUGUGUGGACCUUAUGCUUGAUUUGAUUUUGUCUUAGUGUGAUGCCCUAGUUCUUUUCAACAUCUUAUGAACUAUUGCUAGUGUGUUCUUGCUAAGGACCUAGCUUAGUUUGAUGGCCCUAAGGACUUACAUUAGUUUUUUUCUCUUUUGUAGUUGUGUCAAAGCUAGUUCUUACCAAGGAAUUAAAUUUUUUUAGUAGUUUAAGAUUAGUUAUUUUAAUGUUUAGAGACUCAAUUCGACCAUCUUAAGGCUUUUUUAUUCUUAUAAGUAGACUGUUAGAUAGCUUGCCACAUCAUUCGGUAAGUGUUGGGAUGAGCUAUUUAUACCACAUCAUCUCCUCCACUCAUAAAGGCUCAACUACCAUGGUACAAGGAUUAUACUAUACUAUGCUUUUCUUCCACAUCUCCAACCCGUUGAGCUAAUUUUUCCACAUCUCCACGUCCUUCUAUCCUUGAGAGCCGUCAGUUCAUAUUUUGGAGCUUAAAGCUCCUAUAUGGUUAGGUGUAACCCUUUAAAUCACCUCUUUGUGUGGUGCUCUAAAAAGUUUGUAUCGCUCCAUAUUUUUGAAUAUGUACCCCAAGCUCGAUCUUUGUGGUAGUUUAGUGAGUAUAGUGUUGAGAGAAAGACCUGACUUUUUGUGAGUUCUCAACAUAGAUGUAGCUUCCUUUGUGGUAGUGAAAUUUGAUAAACAAAACCUAUGUUACUUGGGGUCUAUUUGCGUUUGAACUUGUGCUGAUUGACUCUUGGGAUUUCACACCAUGUUGUGAAAUUCUUGGUGUUAGUGAUACCGUGGAAGGUCAAUUAAUAUCUUAACCUUUGGUUCAAGUGGAAUUGAGGAAUGUCAUCAAUCUAUCUAAUCUACUUCAAACCAUGCAAAAUCCCUAUUACCAUUGAAUCAUCAAGGACCUUGCGAGAUAUUAGGUGCCUUCUAGUGCAUGAGCAGAUGGUAAGGUGCUAGACCAUGGUAAGUUGCCAGACUUUUUUGUAUUUAAUUCCACUACAAACUUAAACUUUUCAUGAAACUACUACAUACUCAAAUCAAAAGUCCUUUUAAUAUGAUAAGUUUCUUUCCUUUGUAAUAUUAGCCCUGAUAUAGUAAAGCAAGCAGGUGAGCGGUUAUGACGGAUGCUGCCUCCUUGCACAACACCUAUACACCCUUGUCGCUUUUUAAUUUAAAGGAAAAAGUCCAAUAUACUCCCGCUGACAGAACAUAGUCUGGAUAAACCCAAAAAAAAACCAAUUUUGUCUUUGAUUUACUCCUCCAAAUCUUUUAGUUGGUCCAUUCUAUAUUUCUAUCCCACUAUAAGAUUUGUUUUUUGGUUCUCCACAUAUAAGUUGAGUUUUUAAAUUCAGUUUUUUUGUAGGGAUAUAAAGAACUUCAUAAAUGUAUUAUACAUUAUGAUUUUUUUUAUCUUAGGCAUCUAAUAAUAAAUUAACACUACAAAUACAAGAUUAUACAAAAAUCAUAAUAUAUUUUUCUAACAUAAUUUAGGACAUGUUCGGAUCAAUGUAUAAAAUCUGAACCUAAAACUCAACUUGCACUGCAGAAAACAGAAGACAAACCUUAUUAAUGGAUAGAUCGACCAACCGAAAGACUGGACUUUUUCCUAAUUUCCAAAUCACUCUACAUGCACAAUCAUAGUGUAUAGCAUCCGUGACCGCAACUUUGAAUUUCUGAAAUGCAGUGUAUGUUUAUCAAAAAAGAAGAAGAAGAAGAAGAAGAAGAAGAAGAAGAAGAAGAAGAAGAAGAAGAAGAAGAAGAAGAAGAAGAAGAAGAAGAAGAAGAAGAAGAAGAAGCAUACAAUAUCUAAUGUCAGGAGGUCGAAUAAGAAUGCGAAAGAACAUAUAGGUGCUUAACACAGGAACCUCAACCCAUCAAACCCAAAACCGUCCCUUCAAAUUUGAGAGGGGCUGGUUGAUACGUGAUGGUUUUUUUGACAUGGUUGCAAUUAUUUGGCAAACACCAUGUCCUGAGUUCACCCCGCUUGAACGAUGGCAGUCUAAGAUCCGCAGGCUCAGACAAUAUCUAAGAGGCUGGGCUAAACACACUGCCGGAACAUAAAGAAAGGAGAAAAAAACCCUGCUAUCCCAUUUAGAGGUGCUAGAAAAGAAAGCGGAGGUCACUCACCUUUCUGAUCAAGAGAUUAAUCUUAAACACUAUCUAAAAGAGAGACUAGUUACCCUUCUGCGAGAAGAGGAACUGAAAUGGUAUGAGCGAGCCAAAGUCAAAACCUUAUUGGAAGAGGAACUGAAAUGGUAUGAGCGAGCCAAAGUCAAAACCUUAUUGGAGGGAGAUGCUAACACUUGCUUCUUCCAUCUAGUGGCCAAUGGGAAACAUCGUAAGCAACACAUCUAUAAACUUGAAGAUGAUCAAGGCACGGUUGUUGGCGAUGAGCGCCUCAAAGGCCAUAUUACUACGUAUUAUAAAAAUCUCUUCGGGUCACCGGAACACUCCGACAUCACUCUUAUGGAAGAUCAAUAUUUAGAUAUUCCACAAGUAUCUCCGGAAGAAAACGAUAUCCUUAUUAGCCCUUUCACUGAAUCCGAGGUGAGGGACGCGGUAUUCCAAAUGGAGCAUAAUAAAGCUCCAGGCCCGGACGGAUUCCCUGCGGAAUUCUAUCAGGCGUUUUGGGGAGUUAUCAAGGACGACCUCCUACACCUCUUUGCUGAUCUCCAUCGCGAGGCUCUUGAUCUUCAUAGCUUGAAUUUUGGAAUAAUUACUUUAAUUUCAAAAAUUCAAAACGCUACUAAAAUUCAGCAAUAUAGACCAAUUUGUGUCCUCAAUGUGAGCUUUAAAAUAUUCACAAAAGUAGGCACAAACAGGCUGAAUAUGGUCGCAAAAACUAUAGUGAGCCCAACACAGACUGCCUUUAUGCCGGACAGGAAUAUCAUGGAAGGAGUAGUGAUAUUGCACGAAACUAUUCAUGAGUUACAUACUAAAAAACAAGACAGGAUCAUCUUCAAAAUUGAUUUCGAAAAGGCAUAUGAUAAGGUCAAGUGGUCUUUCUUACAACAAACCUUACGUAUGAAAGGCUUCUCCCCUAAAUGGUGUAGGUGGGUAGAGAGUAUGGUCACUGGUGGAAGUGUGGGGAUCAAAGUCAAUGAUGGUGUUGGCCCCUACUUUCAGUCCA